RNAcentral lists this long non-coding RNA (65261 nucleotides) under Hordeum vulgare. RNAcentral describes it as "long non-coding RNA (HVUL_LNC013977)". The stretch from base 126 to 212 matches the Rfam family "Plant small nucleolar RNA SNOR75". Lineage: Eukaryota; Viridiplantae; Streptophyta; Magnoliopsida; Poales; Poaceae. The record is from RNAcentral.
CGCGCCGCCGCCUCCGCGAUGAGGGCCAAGGUUCGUUCCCGAUUCCCCUCUACCUUCUCAUCCGACUGCUCGAUGCGAUCUAGUGGUUCUCGCUCGGUAGUGGUAGUUGCUUGCUUGUUUGCGGUUCUCUGUGAUGAUGAAAACAGAUGACGAGUCCGAUGCAAUCCAUUCUACAAAACCGUGUGGACAAUCGAGGCAUUUGUCUGAGAGAACGUUCGAUUUUGUAGAUGCAGCCUUGUAGAUGUAUAGGCAUGUGUUCGAUUGAGUCUAGAUGUGAUUUGUAUUGGUUAGAUUUGUUUUGUUUUUGUUUUUGGUUCUCUGUGAUGAUCAACACUGAUUAGAUGUCCGAUCCAAUCCAUUCCAUUCAACCGUGGGGACAACACGAGGCAUUUGUCUGAGAGAACUCUGAUUUUGUUCAAACAUUUGAUUUGCGAUUGCGGUGCGACUCUCUUGAUAAGGUUAGAUUUGCUUGUCCGCCUGUCUCACUCAAGUCAAAUCGUUGAUGUUUCUGGGGUUAUUUUUCUCUAUGAUGAUGAAAACAGAUGACGAGUCUGAUGCAAUCCAUUCUAUUAAACCGUGUGGACAAUCGAGGCAUUUGUCUGAGAGAAAGCUAUUCAAUGCCCAUCCGCCUUUGUCUUAUUUGUUCUAGUCAUAAUGUGUGUAGGUUUCUCGUUCUAAGAUUGGAUUAGCUUGGCUGCUUGUGUUAGUUAUAUGUACUCCCUCCGUUCCUAAAUACAAGUCUUUGAAGAGAUUUCACUACAAGUCUACAUACGGAUGUAUAUAGACAUAUUUUAGAAUGUACAUUCAUUCAUUUUACUUCGUAUGUAGUCACUCAGUGAAAUCUUUAAAAAGACUUAUAUUUAGGAACGGAGGGAGUAGUUGAUAUUGGUGUGUUCGUUCUCUGUGAUGAUGAAAACAGAUGACGAGUCUGAUGUAAUCCAUUCUAUUACACCAUGUGGACAAUCGAGGCAUUUGUCUGAGAGAACAUUGAUUGCUUAGCCAUUUCCUUUUUUCAACUGUUUUUUGUAUAAUUGCGUCGUUGGCAUGAUGAGGAAGACAAUUGUUGUCUGAUCUAUUUGAUGAUAAAAUCCUCCUACUCAUUCUGAAUGUCAAACAGACUGCAAAUCUGCUGUGUUUAACUAGUUGUAGAUAUCAUAGUUGUUUUAUAUAUGCCUUUGAAAUUGACUUCAGUUUGGGAAAUGACGAAGAACAAUUGGUCCGUGUUUCUGAAAAUCACAUGAUGAUAUCCAAUGAAACACUCAAAUCUUCUGAUUCUAAAUCACAUAGUACUAUCAUUCCAAAUUUUAUAAUGGACUUGUUAUUAUUAUCCUAUGCAUAUUCUUGAGUGUUCAUUUUUCCACCGUUUUUUGUGUAAUUGCGUUGCUGGCAUGAUGAGGAAGACAAUUUUAGUCUUAUCUAUUUGAUGAUAAAAUCCUCCUACUCAUUCUGAAUGUCAAGCUGACUGCAGAUCUCUAGUUUGCUCAACUAGUUCUUCAGAUAUCUUAGCAUAGUUGUUUCCUAUUUGCCUUUGAAUUGACUUUAGGUUGGGAAAAUGAUGAAGAACAAUUGGUCCGUGUUUCUGAAAAUCAUGUGAUGAUAUCCAAUGAAACACUCAAUCUUCUGAUUCCAAAUCAAAUACUACCAUAUCUGAGUUAUUAUAUUGGAUUUGUUAUUGUGUUCCUAUGCAUCUCCUAGAGUACUAGCACUAUGCAAUUUGUAUUAAUGAACUGUGGUUUUUGUAAUUUGCAGUGGAAGAAGAAGAGGAUGAGGAGGCUCAAGAGGAAGCGCCGAAAGAUGAGGCAGCGUUCCAAGUAGGCGAACAAAGAGGAGAUAACCUUGUAUCAAUGCACCAGUCUGUUGGGUCGUUUGGUUCCUGAUAUGUCUUGUUGUUUUGAUAUUGGGGAUGCCAACCCUUGUAACAAGAUGAUUAUAUGCUUAUCUUCAAAGCUGGAUAUUCGGCUUAAGAAAUAUUAUCGGCUAUUUUUGAUUUGUUGCCCUGUCUGUUUCUUAUUUUCUUGCAUGCAUCUGAAUGUUUUUGUCUUAGUCGAAUGGUAUUUCAGUUUUUUUUUUCAUUUGUUUCUCAUAAGCAUAUGUACAACUGGAAUUGCUCGGUUCCUGGCGCAAAUGUCUCUUGGAAAGAGAGGAACAACCGAUGCGGUAAUUGGUAUGGGGAUCUGAGCUGCGACGCUUUUUGAGAGAAUACAGGAUUAUCUGCAACUGCCACCAUCAGUUCAUAGUGAUUUUUGGGGCAACACUCUCUCAUUGUUUGGCUGCCUUUCUCCAUGUGUAAACUUCCAUGAUUUCCUGAGCGAAUCAAUAUUUGUGGGGUGAGUAUAGACGCAAUGUAGCCUUGCACGGUGUCGCCCUACUGCCCUUUGCGAGCCAUUGCCAUCAAACAAGUAUAGCUGGCGUGGCAGUACGACGAGGAGACAGACCGCCUUUACUGGCGUGUAAGUAGUGAAGGGCUUACACAGACCUCGUUCUACCCUUCCAAAAAUUAAACCACAAACCUUCCAAUACUCGCGUGUGCCCUACUGCCCUUCGCGAGCCAUUGCCAUCAAACAAGUAUAGCUUACUGGCGUGUAAGUAGUGAAGGGCUUACACAGACCUCGUUCUACCCUUCCAAAAAUUAAACCACAAACCUUCCAAUACUCGCGUGUGAGGAGACGCUCCCCUCUCCUUGCGAAAUUUCUCCGCCAACAAUGACGGCGCCGCCUCCUCCGCGUAAAGGGUUUAGGGUUUAGGUCUGUCUCCUCGUCGUACUGCCACGCCAGCUGGGUGCCGUCGGGAUCAUCUGUCUCUGGAUACCUGUACCUGCUGGGAGUUUCGGAGGAAUCCGUGAGCCACGGGGACUCGGCAAUCUAAGACCUUGGUGCCAGAACUACUCAUGUUAUUGGGUAAGGUAAGGGUGAAGUGUAUCAGGCUGCUGCAACCUAUGAUUGAAUAAGUGGCUAACUUACGCAAAAGAGAAGUGAAGGUGGUCUACGCUAACGGUCGGGAUUACUUGAUCAGGAAGUGAUCCUGAACACCUACCUACGGCAUUCAUAUCCCCAUCGUGUUCCCGAUCGAAGAGGGGUCUUCGAAGGGACAGUCACGGUUACGCACACAGUUGGCAGUUUUAUUAAUUUAUGUUCAAGUUCUCUAAUACCGGAUGUUAACAAAAUAUUCCUAGUUGCCACAUAACCGCGGGCACGGCUUUCCGAAAGAUUAAACCCUGCAGGGGUGCUCCAACUAGUCCAUCACAAACGAACACAGGCCGCAAAGGCAUCCUCUAUCACGAAUCUCGUGAUCUCGUCGGAUUCCUUAGAGGAAAACCUCAACUCUGGGGGAAACCAAAGCUUCACUGGUAUUCCUAUACGCAAGAUAUACCGCUAAGGUAAGACAAGGCUAGCAGGACCUCCCGUCGUGUCGACGACCCUGAUAAGAGCCGCGUAUCUCAGUCUCAGGACAAGACAGAUGAGCUAGACGUCGGGAUGGCUAAACCUCUGGGUGACCAGUGGGGCCCCGGACAUCGCUCAGGUGGGGCCAACACUCAUGAGGAGCACUGGCCCGCGUUGUUGAUUAAAUUCCUCGGGGUAGCUAUUCCCUAUGCAGAUUAUUAUGUGAUUAGCAGAUUAAAACCAAAGUUGGGUCCUGCCGGACAAGCCUUAGCACUACGCGAUUUAUCGAGGGGGUCCCCAUAACAACCCCGAAUGUGUUAGGAGCGAUCAUUAUGGAAUCAAACACCGGUAACCGGUAACUAAGGCGGCAAUAACGGAACAAGACACCCGACAAAAGGCUAGGCCUCCCGUCAUUUACCAAGUAUAUAGGUGCAUUAAUUAAAUAACAGAAUUUAAGGUAAUGAUAUCAAGCUCAUGUUUAUCACAUGAGUCAAAAAAACACCUGCAACUAGCAAUGCUAACAUUAGUAGCUGAGCAAGCCUACUUAGCCACACAAGUUUGCUAGGAAGGAGAACGGUGUUUGGGCUCAUGGCAUUUCAAGAGGCAAUUUAAUUCAGUGGUAGGCAACGAGCAAUAUGACAUGGAAACGAAACUAACAUAACAAGUCUAGAGAUGGAAUCAAGGUCAUAUCAUCUUGCGUGUGAUAUCCUCAGCUUGGAAUGGUUCUGGAUCGUCCUGCACGUACUCUCCUGACUCCACGUAUUCGUUCUCCGAUCCCGGUGCUACCCAACAUAAUAAUAACAGCCAAUGAACAGCAGCACCACAAGAUGCAACAAUCACAUGAUGCAUGGGAUGAAAGUUGAGCAUGCAUCACUAUUUCUAUCACACGCACAAGCAAAAUAAACUACAACAAGUUUCUGGACAGAACUGUACACUAAGCUAUUUUUACAUGCAUGAGAAAGACAUGAACAGAUGCGGCUCGUGAAAACGGUGCAAAACCAUAUAAAGAACAUUGCAAACGGAGCUACGGAUCAACGGGAAUCAACGAAACAAGAUAUGAAGCUCUACGUGGAAGUUUCAACACCACACUCACAAUUGGCACAAAUAUGAUAUUCCCAGGUUUCCAAGACAUGCAACAACCCAACAUGAAUGAAUUGGAGCAAGGUAGAACACCACAACAUCAAUUAAGCACAUACUUUGAUCAAAAUGACAAAACUCCAUAAUCUGCCAUAAUCUGCAUCUUAGCUCUUUGGGAGCUGCAUGCAACAUAGCUACAGGUCUUCAAACAUGACAAAUAAUACAUGUGGAUGUUGCCAACCAAGAACACUACAAGCAACAGCAAGAAUCACAGCAAAAGUAAUUAAACUCUAUAAGAUACAAGCCCACAAACUUUCCCAAAACCAUCAGAUCUCAGGGACUUAGUGAAAAUUCCUGCACCUGAGUUUCUGUCUCUGUUCUUAAGCUUUUUGACAGCAAUCAAAACACAACCUAAUGGACUCCAAAUGACUUUAAAAUUUACAGGGAGCUUCAAAAACAUAUCGGGUUCAAAAUCUUAGCACUGAACUAAGGCCAGUUCUCAACAGAAUGACCAGCACAUUCUCAUCUAUAAGAGAAGAAAAUGUUUCCAGCAUUCCAGACUUAGUGAAAUUGCAGAGUUCACUAAUCUGGGAUUUUUCCAGCCACAUGCCCACUUUGUCUAGGCAUAGUUUGCACACACACAACACCAAGAGGUAAUUGACACCACUAUGGUGUAGAGAAAAACUCCUACUACUAACACACAAAAACUCAUGCCCUUGGGCUCCACCUAUUCCAUGGAAUCAAGGCUCAAACUUGCAACAAAACUGAAUAUGCAACCCCAUAAAACACCCUACUAAGACAACCACUACCAAGGUAGAGUUCAUGUGCACAAUGACAAAGUGACAUGGGAUUUUGAACCCCAUGUUUGUGUCAUGCCCAUCAACAACACCAAUGCUUAUCACAAGCCAACCCCCCACACACAACAUGCUCUCUCUCAUAUUAAACAUGAGGAGGUGCACCACUUGCAAAGGUGGGAAGGUCCACACACACACACACAUUAGCAUCACUUGGAGCAAGAACCCAACUCCAAGCAUAAGGGAAACACACUCACAUCAUAACUAUACUAGUGCAACCCCAAGCUAAUACACACACACCACAAACUACUUCCACCAAAGCUUGAACUUCAAGGCUUGUGCAAUUGCACAAGCAUGUGUGUAGGGUUACACACACACUUGCACACACAUCAACCUCAAGCUCAAACUCACAUGCACCUAGAUCCACACCACUACUACCAUCACACCACCCUACAUACAUGCCUUCUCUUAUUCCUCCAACAAAUAACAGGGAAGGAAAAAUACAUAAGGCAUAGGUAUUCCAUUGAACUAGGCAUGGAGUAGCACACAAAGCAAGGGAAAAAAACAACAAAAAACAGAAAGAAAGAAAAGGAAAAAGAAUUGGGGGCUCUCUGGGAUUCGAACCCCAGAGCCCCUGGUUCCACACCCACACACAAUUCCAUUGCGCUGCUGCUACGGCGGUUGACGAGGGAGGUGGUGCAAGUAGGGUAAGGUUUCCCCGCAGUGCUCUAAAUCGCAAACAAAACAACCAAAAAAAGAAAGUGCCGAGGGGGGGGGGGGACUCGAACCCACGCCCUCCUACAGGCACCACACACACACACCACUGGGCUACGAAACGGAUACUGACAGAGGGGGGAAACUGAAACAGGUAAGCUAACACUCCCAUCAGACUUGCUCUGCACCUGCGCGUGAGCUGCUGCUCGCCGGCGACAGAGAAGGCGCCGUGGCUCUCUUCUGCGUCACUGAGGCACCUCGCUCUUCUACGCUACUGCCGGCUGCUACCCGGAGCUAGCCCUCUCCACCUAGCUACACCACGAAAACAACAAGGCACAACACACACUACUGUACUGCUCGGGUCAGGGAUGCCCGACAACACAGCUCGCCGGCCGGACCUGAACCUGCUGUUGUUGCACACUGCUACUAGCCGGCAGCUACGUAGGGAGGGAGCCCUGCUACCUGCGACACCGAAAUCACCAUGACUCCUACUCGACCUGCUGCUGAUCUACUGCUAUGCUGGGAAGAAACCGUGCUACGAACACCACCUACACUGCUACCGGCUACCUGACAGAGAAGAAGGGCGCACCACUACGGCGGAUCCAAGACGGAACCGAGGCGGAGGAAGGAAGGGGAGGUGAUCUGCUCACCUUGGGAACGGAAGGAGGAACCGAUCGAAGGAGGAGGAAGACCGGAGAGGAAGAAGGUGCUCGGAGAAGUCCCUGCCCUGUCGAACCGAAGUAGGACGGAGAGACCCCCCGGGGCGGAGCCAUAGACGGACUCGUGCUCGUCGGUGAGGACGCCCCUCGUCCUCAGCGACGGCGGGAAUGGAGCGCGGGGUGCAGCCCCUGGACAUGGCGGACUCGUCGGACGGCGACGCACGCGGGGUAGACGCGGCGAGCUCCACCCUCUCUCUCUCUGUUGCUAGACUACAGGCCUUACCUGCGGGGAGGAAGAGAGAUGGGGAAGGUGGCGGCGCACUGGAGGGGAAGAAGGAACCCUACGGAGGAGGAGGAAGACCGGGGGCUCCUUAUAUCGUCUUGGGAGGCGAGCUUGGAGCCACCAGAUCGAUGGGAAGGAAGAUCAGUGGUGGAGCGCUGUUCGUACAACGUGACGUCGCCACGAGGAAGAAGAGGGACGGCGAGUGGGCUGCUGGCGCGAGGGACCUGGGCCAGGGAGGAAAUGGGCUUCAAAUGCUAGGGAGAGAAUAAAAGAAACCUGGCCCUCUCCCAUAUUAUAUAUAAACGCCAUCUCAGCAAAAAAAAUACACCAAGAACAACUAAGGUCUUAGAAAAAAAUAAAAACAAAUACCCCUGGGCACAAGGGAUUUAUGCCCAAAUUUCUAAAAUACCAAAAUGAUAUUUUUACAACUAAAAUAAUAAUUGACAAUCAGAUUAAAAUAAUCUGAAAAUAAAGGAAAAACCCCAAACAAAAUAAGUUUAAAAACCCCUCUGCUACAUACCCAUAUACCAACUAAAAUGCUCUAAAGGUGCAACAUUUUUAUAACAACAUUGGAGCAAAAGGAUUUGAACUUGGGAAAAAGAAUAUAAAAAAAAAGGUUUGGACUACACAAGGGGGUUUGUAAUUGAUGCCAAGCACCACCCUCUCAUUACUUCACACCACAACAACACCUAUGCAUCAACACAUGAAAUCACAAUAUACAUGACCACAAGAUUAAAAGCACCACAUGAAAUCAUAUGACCACAUGCACCAACACCUAACACCUGUAAUGAUAUGAUGUGCUAUGCAUGCAUGCAUGAGAAGGAAAAGCAAGAAACACACAUGAAAUCACAGUACCAACUUAACAUCAUGAUCUCUUACAAGGUGGUCCCACAUGAAGUAGGUCCAAAAUGGGUAGGUUUUACACCUGGGGCAUUACAAACUCUCCCACACUACAAAGAAGAUCUCGACCUCGAGAUCUAAGACUGAAAGAAAUCGGGAAAUUCGGAACGGAGGUGAUCCUCGCGUUCGCACGUAGCCUCUUUAUCGGAAUGGUGUGACCAGUGCACUUUGAGAAACUUGACAGUCUUGUUACGAGUCUUGCGCUCAGUCGCCUCGAGAACCGCAGCUGGAUGCUCACGAUAAGAAAGGUCAGGCUGAAGAUCGAUAUCUUGAAGAUGCACAGUGCGCUCGGGGUUCUUGAAACACCUCCGAAGCUGAGAAACAUGGAACACAUCAUGGACAUUUGCAAAGGUUGACGGAAGCUCGAGCUGGUACGCAAGGUCGCCCCUCUUGCCAACCACUCUGAACAGAGCAAUGAAACGAGGUGCAAGCUUGCCUUUGAUGCCAAAAUGCCGCAUAUCCUUCAUAGGCGACACCUUGAGAUAGACAAAAUCAUCAAGCUCAUACGACAUGUCACGGUGCUUGCUAUCGUAAUAGCUCUUCUGACGGGACUGAGCUGCUCUGAGGUUGUCGCGAAUGAUCCGACACAUCUCCUUAGCUUCUUCUAUCAUACCAUUGCCAAGGAUCUGACGCUCGCCUGUCUGGGACCAGUUGAGCGGAGUACGACACUUCCUGCCAUAGAGAAUUUCAAACGGAGCCUUGCCAGAACUAGCUUGAUAACUGUUGUUAUACGAGAACUCCGCGAAAGGCAGGCAAUCCUCCCACUUCAUGCCAAAAGAGAUAACAUAGGCUCUCAGCAUGUCCUCAAGAACUUGAUUCACUCUCUCCACUUGACCACUAGUCUGAGGAUGGUACGCUGUGCUGAAGCGGAUCUUUGUGCCCAUAGCAGACUGAAAGGAGUCCCAGAACUUGGAAGUGAAGAUACUUCCGUGAUCUGACGAUAUCAUCAUAGGUACACCGUGCAACGAGACGAUCCUCGAGGUGUACAACUCUGACAGCUGAGCUGCUGAAAUGGACUCCUUGACUGGAAGGAAAUGCGCCACUUUACUCAAUUUGUCGAUGACGACGAAGAUAGCAUCAUUGCCCUUCUUGGACUUCGGAAACCCGGUGACGAAGUCCAUCUCAAUGUGAUCGAACUUCCACUCGGGAAUCGGCAAAGGCUGCAAGAGGCCCGCUGGUCUUUGAUGUUCCGCUUUCACCCUUUGACAUACCUCACAUUCGUUAACGAAUUGUGCAAUUUCACGUUUCAUACGGGUCCACCAGAAAGUCUGCUUCAAGUCAUGGUACAUUUUGGAACUUCAAGGAUGAAUAGAGAGUAGAGAGUUAUGAGCUUCAUCCAUGAUCACCUUCCCGAGAUCACCCUUCGGGACGACAAGGCGGUCCUCGAAAAACAAAGUGUCCCUGGCAUCCACAGUGAAACACUUAUACUUGGGAAGACUCUUUCCNNNNNNNNNNNNNNNNNNNNNNNNNNNNNNNNNNNNNNAGGCUCUUUCCCACACCAAUCUUGACCUUCUUCACCAUAGCGUCAAGUAGCUGAGCUGCUCUGACCUGAUCUUCCAAGGUAGGAGAGAUCUGAAGGUUCGCAAGAAAACCCUGAGGAACCAGCUGAAGAUUGAGCUUCCUGAAAGACUCAGAAAGACCCGGCUGGAGAGGUUGCAGAAUCAGACUGUUGCAAUAUGCCUUCCUGCUCAAUGCAUCUGCCACAACAUUUGCCUUGCCUGGCGUGUACUCAACACUCGGAUUAUAAUCCUGGAGCAUUUCCACCCAACGUGUUUGCCGAAGAUUCAAGUUAGGUUGAGUGAAGAUAUACUUGAGGCUCUUGUGAUCGGUGAAGACUUCAACCUUACGUUCCAACAAGAGAUGUCUCCAAGUCAUCAAGGCGUGCACAACAGCUGCUAGCUCGAGAUCGUGCACAGGACAGUUCUUCUCCGCAGGCUUCAGCUGCCUGGAGGUAUAAGCAACCACCUUCCUAUCUUGCAUCAAGACUGCACCGGAACCCUGGAGAGAAGCAUUGCAAAAGACCUGGUACGGCUUGGAAUCAUCCGGAGGAGCCAAUACCGGAGUGGAGGUAAGCUUCUCUUUGAGUGUAUCGAAAGCCAGUUGACACUCUGGAGACCAAACAUACUUGACACCCUUCUGAAGAAGACUAGAGAGCGGCUUGGCGAUUUUGGAGAAGUUCUCAGCGAAUCUUCUGCAAUAUCCGGCAAGACCGAGAAAGCUUCGAAGCUGCUUCACAUUCUGCGGAGGUUCCCAUUCAACAAUGGCUUGAACCUUGGACGGGUCAACCUUAAUGCCCUCGGCAGAGAUAAUAUGCCCAAGAUAAACCACUUCUUUCAGCCAGAACUCGCACUUGGAAAACUUGGCAUACAGCUUGUAUUCUCUCAGUUUAUCAAGCACCAACCUGAGAUGUUUCUCAUGUUCUUCUUCAUCCUCAGAAAAGACCAGAAUGUCGUCGAGAUAGAGCAAGACAAACUCAUUCUUGAAUGGUGAGAAAAUAUAGUUCAUCAAUCGUCAAAAAGUCGGAGGAGCAUUAGCCAGACCAAAAGACAUGACCGUAUACUCAUACGAGCCAAAGCUAGUCCUGAAUGCCGUCUUCGGUAUGUCUUCCUCGCGAAUGCGAAUCUGAUGAUAGCCCAUUCUGAGAUCAAGCUUGGAGAAUACUUUAGCACCUUUCAGCUGCUCGAACAACUCAUUUAUGUUCGGAAGUGGAUAUUUGUUCUUGAUUGUCUUCUUGUUCAAUGGGCGGUAAUCGACACACAGCCGGUCCGAACCAUCCUUCUUCUUGACAAACAGAACACCACAUCCCCACGGAGACGAGCUUGGUCUGAUCAAACCCAAACGCUCCUGCUCAUCGAGUUGCCUCUUGAGUUCCUUCAACUCUUCUAGACCCAGCUUGUACGACCGCUUGCACACUGGCUCUGUGCCUGGCUCAAGUUCAAUGACGAACUCCACUUCGCGGUGCGGAGGCAUGCCUGGCAGCUCUUCAGGAAACACGUCUUGAUAUUCGCAGACUACUGGAACUUGCUCAAUGGGAUUGAUCUCACCCUUUUCAUUCAAGGAGAACAAGCGGAUUGUGUCAUCGCGCGCCGCGAAUAUAAUCACAUCCUCCGAAGAGUGGGUAAGUUUCACUUCUUUAGCUUCACAAUCAAUUGAUGCCUUAUUCAUGGCCGACCAGUCCAUACCAAGGAUCAAAUCAAUGUCGGACUUGCCCAAGACAUACGGAGAGGCCAGAAACGAAUAACUGCCCAUCUUGAUAGAAACAUCCGGAGCACGGGUCCUAGCAUGCAUGAACUUGCCUGGUGAAACUACUGACAACGGACUAGGAAGCUCUUCAACAGGAACAUUAUGCUUGGAUGCAAAUGGAAUGGAGAGGAACGAAUGCGAAGCACCAGAAUCAAACAAGACUUUAGCAGGAUUAUCAUUGACAAGGAGGUUACCCAUGAUCACAUCCGAUGAAUUUUCUACCUCAGCUGCAUUCACCAUGUUGACUCGAGCUGACCUGGGGUUGAACUUCACAAGAGCGUUGCUAGGAGGUUUGCCUGGAGGAGGAGGCGGCAGACGGAGCUGAGAAGUGCAUUUGUUGGCAUAGUGACCCUUCUUCCCACAUUUGUGACAAGUGACAUCUACUGGCUGCCGGAACUGAAUCUGAGGAGGCCCUUGCUUCUGAGGCUGGUAUCUCUGCUGGAAGCCAGGGUUGGGUGGGCGGGAAGAACCACGUCCACCUGAGUGCUUCGGCUGCUGAGAGUGCCGAGGAGGAGGAGGAGAAACCCAAAACCUCUGCUGCUUCUGAACCACCUGAGUCGAGGAAGAACUGGAAUCUCUGAAACGUUUCUUGGAGUUCUCCACCCUGAGCAAGGCUGCCUCUGCUCUGAGAGCUAAGUUGUAGAACUUGUCAAACUCCUGAGGAUCGUGCAAAGCAAGUGCUAACUGCAAAUCCUCCUUUAAGCCACCCCUGAACUGAUAGAUCUUGCUCUUCUGAUCUGGAACAUCCUGUAGCGCGUAACGGGCCAGCUCGUGGAACUCGACAUUGUACUUGUACAUAGAAUUGCUGCCCUGCUUCAAACGCCUGAACUUCUCACGCAUCUCCUCAACAAAACUGGAAGGGAUGUAGUGGGACCUGAAGUCACGACAAAACUCGUCCCAAGACAUCACCCUGCCACCUCUCGAGUCCUUAAGCUGCUGCCACCAAAUAGAAGCCUGCCCCUUCAACUGAAACGUUGCAAACUUGACAUAAUCCCCCGGACGCACAUUGCUACACUCAAAAUGCUUGUUCAUAUCACGGAUCCAAUCUUCCGCAUCAAACGGCUGGUCGCAAGAAGUGAACGUCUUAGGCUGGUUUGAGAGGAACUGACUCAGACUCGCGAAGUGAUUGCCACCCUGCUGGAAAUUGCCCUGCUGAUGAUUGGCUCUCUCCUGGAUCAACUGCAACAGCAUCUGCGUGUUUGCAUUAGUAGCUGCCAUCAUCGCCUGCCAGGCCUCUGCAGGAGGAGGCGGCGGCGGCGGAGGAGGAGGAGGUGGAGGCGGCAUAUCCUCACGCGCUGGGGUCUGACGAGUUGGUGGAGUCUGACCAUGGGUGUGCUUGCUUGGACGAAGUUCUUGCUAAUAUGCUUGCUUGGGGCUAUGCAGAUGUGAGUUGUUUACAUAAUAGCAAGAUUUGGUCUGCAACUUGUAGUCUAAUAUGGUUGUGCAAUGGAACUUGUAGGUUGUGCACUGGAAACAGUAAGUUGAAUGCAUGCAGAUCAUCCUCGGUCUUGGGUGGAUUGGGGGUUGGGGAGAGUUUCUGAUUUGCUUAAUCAUGGAACAUAGACGACAGUUUUCGUGUACAAAUUGAUGGAUUUUUCUCCUCAUGACUUAUAAUUGCUGUGUCCCAGCCUACUGGAUGCUAAAAGAUUGGAUUUUUUUAUUUUUCAUCAUCUUAGCAGAAUGUUGCAUAGCUGUUGUAAUUUGUGUUGUUCUGUUGUUGUACCAAAUAUAGGAAAUUAUGGGGGUGGGGGAUUUCUGGGGAAUUGAGGGGAUUUGGUGGAGGGGAGGGUAUCAUCAAAUCCCCACCAAUCCCCAAGCCCUUUGGGGGUGGAAAAACAUGUUGGGUCUAGUCCCACAUCGAUUGUGGGAGGAGACAUAACACGACUUAUAAGGGUGAGGGUGUCCCCUCCUAAUAGGCUAGUCUUUUGUGGGGGGGGGGGGGGGAGGGCCCAAGUCCUGUCAUAAGUCGGUGUUGCUCUUCGGUUGGGCCUGUUGACGCAUGUGGGUCGGAACGCUGGUGUUAGCGAACCCGAGAUUGCGUAACAAGUGGUAUCAGAGCCCAGGUGCCCGGAAUAAAUCUCGGUGGACUCACGGGUGGUCGGUCAUGGUUGGUGGGCUGGAGACGCUGGUAUUAGCGGGUCCAUGGGUGACCGAUGUGUGAGGAGGAGUUUGUUGGGUCUAGUCCCACAUCGAUUUUGGGAGAAGACAUAACACGACUUAUAAGGGUGAGGGUGUCCCCUCCUAAUAGGCUAGUCUUUUGGGGGGAGAGGGCCCAAGGCCUGCCAUAAGUCGGUGUUGCUCUCCGGUUGGGCCUGUUGACGCAUGUGGGUCGGAACGCUGGUGUUAACGGACCCGGGAUUGCGUAACAAAACACGAGUGCCAAAUGAGGCCUAAAUGUGAUUGUGAUGACACUAGGGGCAAGUUUCGACUCACUCGGGGAGGGGGAAGAAGGGUUUAAGAAUAAGAUACGGGAAGAACUGUCUGAAUGUUAAGAGAACGAAAUGCAUGCAUGAAAUCAAUGGCGCAGCUAGACAAGAUUCUUAGGGGGGGGACAAACAUAAAAUAUGGAUAUUUAAGGGGGUCAAAUGCUAAAAGUUUCCUAAUCUAAUCAGUCUUAUUUUUUUUUCUUCUUGCUUUUAGCCAAGGUUGGGGGCCACGUCACCUGCAGCGCUGCACAUAGCUGCAUGAAAUUGUGUAUGGCUGAUCGGUAAGGAUAAAUCACGAGUGGACAUGGUGCCACACGAGCAUGGUAUCCACCACUCAUUUCUUCGUGAUUCGUGUUGUAUUUACAUUGCCAAAAUGUAUAUGGGUCGUAUUCUAUGUAUAAUAGAUGAGUAUGGCCCACAAAUCUGCACAAGUGCAGUUAAAGCUCAUUGAUGACCACACCGAUCCCACACUACUGAUUAGAGGAGCUAUUCUCUUAGGCUGGUCACAAUGGAGAGUAACAUAAGGUAGGAACCUACACGCUUUCCUAGACUAUGUUCCUACCUCCACAAUGGGGAGUAACAUGUAUGUAGUGUCAUGCAACAAUGCAUUUAUUAGGCUAUAGACUCAUUGUUUCUUGGAGUGUGUGAUGUUCCGGUAACUUAGCUAGUUACCACAAGCACCUCUCUCUUCACUAAAUACGUGCCACAUAGCAAAGUUGUAUUGAAGUGUGUGAUGUUACUGCUAAGUUCCUCCCCAUUGUGACCAGCCUUAGUUAUUUGCAGCGUACAUCAACGCCAACCCGCACCAUUGCAUGCAUUUUCUCCCCAUUCAUUGUUUAUUCUGGAGCUCCUCUCGCACUCAUCUUGCUUCUCUAGUUCUCCCUCUUCGUUCAUGGCAUUGCUAGCUAGGAUUCAUACAUGGAGAUCUAGAGUUUCUUUUCAGAAAUAAUGAAGACGUGGAGUUGUAGCCGCAGCAGUCUCCCCCUAUCUCUCUCUCCCUUCCUCUCUUUCUCAGCUUUGAUGAUCAUGUGUCACUCAAUGACUGUCUAAGUGCAGUUCAUAUUCCUCACCCUCUCUUUCUCUCAAUCCUCUCGGUCGUGCCAAUAAUACUUCAUGUCCAUCUACUGGAACAACACCAACAUUUGUGUUCAUGUCCUAGUGUCCAGUUCAUCAAUGUCCUACAUCGAUUCUCCAGCUCCACCCAUGGGAUUUUUUACGACGUGGCCCAAGCAUGGCUCACAUUUCAAGUAAUCCUGUAUAAAUAAAUUUUCCUCUACCCAGCCAAUCUGAUGAUAAGAUUCAACAGUGUUCUUCAUACACCCACCUCCACCUACAUGAAGCAUAUCUAAACUACAUGUCCCGCAGAAGCCCACUCCCUCCCCCACCCACACCCAUUAUCUAGUACUGGCUGGUGGCUGCAUAUAGACUCUUCUAAAUGACAUGCAGACCAUCAAGUACCCAACAGAGAUUUAAAUCCAACACAUCUCACAGAGUGCUAAAACUCAACUAGUACCAGACAAAGUGCAUACAAAUUUAGAGUGUCAUGACCCACUCACUGCUGAGUAUUUCAUGUAUUAUUGAGUACCUGCCAUCGUAUUAGAAAAUGGCCUAUAUUAAUUAGUAAUCACAAAACACAAGCGGGUAGCCGAGAUUUCGGCAUCGCGUGGCACCAUGUCUCAAAAAUCCACGUCCUGCUCGGUAAGCACUAAUUAGUCCGGUGACAAGUUUUGUCAGCAGUUCAUUCUCUGUUUUCUCUUUGAUGGAUUAUUCUUAUUUUACGAACGAUGGUCUGGUUUGCAAUAAUUGACCCAAUGUGCAAGGUAAAGCUAGAGUCGAGAAUACUACCCCCUCUGUAUCACAAUACUUGUAGUUGGGGAGGGGGAAGGGGGGUGUACUUGUAUUAGUGUAUUUUAAUAACAAGUAUUUAGGUACAGAGCAAGUAGGUCCUAUCCCCGUGAGUAUCCUGUGUAGAUAUACGAUUACAAAGGGCAAUGGAUGGUACAAACACAGGGGGAAGCACAAUCACUCGCUCUUGCCGAAUUUUGGCAGGACGAUUCAUUGGCUAUCCCACAAAGCACAUCAGCGUGUUUUGCCACAGUGUACAACAUUAUCUGGAGUCUUUUUUGAUCAAUGGAGCGAUUUUUUCACUGUUUUGACUCAGGAGAUGAAAGUAAUGCACAAAAUGAACUUGAUCUGAAACUAUUUUACGAUUUGACCCUUUUAGAAACGUCAGAACCCGUGGCGUUGCUGGUGUACAUAGAAACGCCUGUCUACCGUGACGUUUCUGGUCCACAUUCAGACGCCAGUCUAGCUCGCGUUGCAGAUCAUCUAGAAACGCCACCCUCAGUGACGUUUCUACACAGGCGCCAAACGUCAUUAUGCAUGGCGUUUCUUACUCAUCCUUGCAUGCAUAUGUACGUUAGAUGAAUUGACGCCUCGGCCCUCGGGUCUGCCCCUGACCGCCGCUGCACGCACACAGCAGGUGGUGGUGGUGGAGGUGGCGUGGACACAUGCUAGCUACACAUCUCUGACUCCUGAGAGCAAGUACAAUAAGGUACAGUCAGCAGGCUAUAAGGAUUAAAAUACUAUAUUUUUGCUGAGUUGGAUGAGAGAGAAGAGGAGAGAGAAGGAAAGCGGGCUCUUCGUGAAGAGCCGAUUCUAGCACGUGCUCCUAGGUGCUUUGUGAGAAUGAAAGAUGGAUCAUAUAUGAUAAAAGUAGUACUCCCUCCGUCCGGGUGUAUAGGGCAUGCACGUAGUUCUAGGUCAUUAAUUUAACUAUUUAAAUAUGUAUUAUAUGUAAUAAAUAAUAUAUCAUUAGAUUCAUGCGAAGAUGUAGUUUCUGAAUAUGUAAUUUUCAUCGCAUAUAAUAUAUAUUUAGCUAGUUAAAUUGACAACCUAGAACCACGGGCAUGCCCUAUACACUUGGACGGAGGCAGUACUCUUUUACAGCUAACUAUUGUACAAGCGAGCUAUAAGAUGAGCUAUAAGGAUAGCCAGCAGUUGGCUAUACUAUUAACCAUGCUCUGAGCUAGUCGAGGUAGCAGCCGCUAGGUGAUGCAUGCGCCCUCGGUUUUGCACGGACGGACGGACGCGUGGGGGCACGUCCGCGGAUUUCGCUCCGGCUGCGAGACACGAGGGGCGAGGCUUCUCGUCGUCGUCGCCUCCGCGCCUUUGCUCCCGCCCACGGAUCUGCCUGGGAUCCCCUUCUACAGUGCACUGCAGCCUGCCGCCUCGGCCCUCUUUAUUGGCCCUGUUUGGAUCCCACUGCUAGAGCUAGUUUGAGCUAGUUUGAGCUGAACUAGCUCCCAAAGUAUCCAAACACAUGGGCUAGUUUGGGUUAGAUGCAAACUAACCCAUCAAAAAAACUAGCCCUGAGAAGAGGUGCUAAUUGGAGCUAGUUGGGGAUGGACAGCUAAAAAAAUAAUAUUUUGACCGCAUCAGAUCCUUUCCUCGCCCCGCCCGCCGCGCNNNNNNNNNNNNNNNNNNNNNNNNNNNNNNNNNNNNNNNNNNNNNNNNNNNNNNNNNNNNNNNNNNNNNNNNNNNNNNNNNNNNNNNNNNNNNNNNNNNNNNNNNNNNNNNNNNNNNNNNNNNNNNNNNNNNNNNNNNNNNNNNNNNNNNNNNNNNNNNNNNNNNNNNNNNNNNNNNNNNNNNNNNNNNNNNNNNNNNNNNNNNNNNNNNNNNNNNNNNNNNNNNNNNNNNNNNNNNNNNNNNNNNNNNNNNNNNNNNNNNNNNNNNNNNNNNNNNNNNNNNNNNNNNNNNNNNNNNNNNNNNNNNNNNNNNNNNNNNNNNNNNNNNNNNNNNNNNNNNNNNNNNNNNNNNNNNNNNNNNNUCGCCCCCGCUCGGCCUGCUCGCCACCGCCGGCCGCGCUCGCCCUGCUCGCCCCGCCGGCCGCACCAGGCCUACACAAAAGCUGGGCACAACAAAUCCUGGUUAAAAGAUACACAUGAUUGAAAAAAAUGCAUUUAUUGUCAUACUAACCUUUGCAUCCAAACACCACCAAAGGCUAGAGUUAGUUCAUGGUUAGACUAAAGUUAUAAACUAACUCUAACCUAUAGCCAAGUUAGAGUAUCCAAACAGGGCCAUUAACCAACUGUGCAGUGCAGCGCAGUGCGGGGCGCCUGCGACGGCCUUGCCCUGCGUCGCCACCGUUGAGCAGUCCCGCGCCGCGUCGGAAAAGACAUGGAUGAAUUAAAAGGUCCGCUUUAGUCUGGUUUUAAGGGCCGGCCCCGGCAUCUCGGACGCGCCCAUGCCGCCCGGCCUUCUUCUGUCGCCACGUCGGGUCACGCAUUAGAUCAGGGUGGCUGACUUCGAACCCACCUGCCGUAAAUUCGAAAAAAUACACUCUAGUCAAGUACUACCCCCUAGGUACCACUGUAGUCUGUAGCUAAACUAGCAGCACGGCCUCGGUUUUCGUCACCCGUUGUACUGGUACCUCUCCUCCAGGGUCAACAUCAUCUUCAUCCUCGCAGCAACUGCGCCGUGGAGUGCUAGUACAGUAUACAUCAUCGCAACCGGUUGCAGGAUUAGGUGGGUGACAUGCACGCGAGACAUGUGUGAGAUGGCCACAUCAGGCAGCUGCAUGUACUUUAAUUACUCACGGUGCGUGCAUGCAUGGCGUUUCUUACUCACGGCGCCAAACCACUAUUUCACGUUCUGUCUAUAGAGUUUGCAACUUUGCAUAUGUACGUUAGAUGAAUUGCAAAUUACAAAGGCACGCAAGGACCCGAUUUUGGUGCUAAUUAAAGUGCACCCAUACGCCCGCGUAGUGGGUUAUCUACUUCCCAAAACAUUUAAGAAGCAAAUUUAAGCAAUGAUUAGUGAGCAGAUAAAAAGGGUCAGAUCGAUCGGCACGGAGGGCUCCAUCAAAUAUCAUAAGCUAGAUAGCUAGCUAGAAGUCCUCUUCUCAUCUGCCUAAUCCUAAUCACAAAAGUAGAACUUUAAGCGUGUGCGCGCGCGCGCGCGCGCGUGUGUGUUUGUCCUGCUUCCUAAUGAAUUGCAUUGGUUUCAAGUGGUUAUACGAUAAUCCAGGCUCACUAGCUUUAGCUACCAAGUGCCCGCACGAGCCCAAUAAUGAUGAUUAGCACAUGACAUUAACUGGUCUCCAACUGAUAAUGAUCCGUACGUGCUGCUAGUUCCGGCAGUCGUCCAGUCAUGGGCCAUGGCUGCCGCAUGAAUCGAUCAUGUUCUUGGAGCUGUCGGGCACAGCUGCACAGUACAUUCUUUCAUACACGGGUGGCCAGCUAUAGCCACCUCUAGACGACCUGGCCACCUCCUGCACGCAUGCAUGCAUACAUCACUGUAGCUUGUUUUGCAUGGCCUCGCGGAAUAGUUUAACCGAGUCUACAGGUGCAUGCAUGCAAGGAUGAGUAAGAAACGCCAUGCAUAAUGGCGUUUGGCCCAUGUGUAGAAACGCGAGCGAGGGUGGCGUUUCUAGAUGAUCUGCAACGCAAGCUAGACUGGCGUCUGAAUGUGGACCGGAAACGCCACGGUAGACAGGCGUUUCUAUGUACACCAGCAACGCCACGGGUUCUGGCGUUUCUAAAAGGGUCAGAUCGUGAAAUAGUUUCAGACCGAGUUCAUUUUAUGCAUUACUUUCGUCUUCCGGGUCAAAACAGUGAAAAAAAAUCCUCAAUGGAGAAUGGGUGCUUGUUGUCGGAACCUGCGUUUUGGGUACCGCCCGAGAAAAACGGUUACCGGGCGGUAACCGCGUUUCUCGCCGCCCCACGACAAAGUUGUAUCCCGACUCAAAAAAUUUGAACUUUUUGAAUAUUUUGAAUUUAAACGCUCGGGCUGUAGUCAAAUAAAGCGGCGUCUCAAUAAUGUUAUGUCUGCCGCUGUGGCGUGGUGGUAACCAUCUACCACCGAUCUCAAGAGGUUCGAGGUUCGACCACUAUGACAGUAACUUCGUGAUCUUACAUCAAUUAGAGAGCAUGUACAGGACAUACCACUGAGCUACUAAUACUUUUCUUAUCUAUUCAUGUUCAAGUCUUUUGUAUUUCUAGUUUCAAAAUUUAAAUUCAAAAUUCCAUUAUAAAUUCGUACGAAAUUUAUUCGGUAUUUCUCGGUAACCGUGGUAACCGAGAAUCUCGCCCCCCACGAGAAAAUUUGGUCAUUCGGAAUCCAAAAUAUUGGUCGGAACUCGAGCACAUAUGUGCUCGUUAUCUGAGCGAUCGAGUACAGCGUCAGGAUGUGAUGAAAUUCAAUUCCAGGUCCACAUACAGGUUCAGUUUUACUAGCAGAAAUGCCGAUGUAUGUGGUACGAACCCUAAAACGCCUCGAUGAACAGAAAGGUAUGGCAGUACACAUACUUGCAAAGUUGCAAUUCAUGCUAGUGCUCUUAGAAGAAAGGGACAGUGUUUACUUGUAGAAAAUGACAAGAAUCAGAACAGUGACUUGUUGAGUCAGACAAUGAUGUAAUUUUAGGCAGUGUGGUUAGUUAUGCGCUCAUUAGUUUGAGAGUCAGUACCCCCCCCCCCCCCCCCCCCCCCCCCCGUCCCCCCCCUCCCACCCCCCCCCCCNNNNNNNNNNNNNNNNNCCCCAUCGCCCUCCCUGGUCUCCCCCUUCCAGCCAGCCACCCCCUCAUCUCGCCACCUGCGCAUGCGUGUGUGCGGCGGCGGUGAGGUGGAGUGCGGUGGCGCAGGUUGUUGGGGAGGGGGUGGUGGACGACUGACUUGAGCUGGCGGGGCGUGGCUUGCUUGAAGGGGAUGCAUCCUCUCUCGGGUGGUCGGCGGUUGGUUUCAUCCACGCCCAGAUCUAGCGUCCCGGAGUGGGGCGUUCGGCCGUCGGCUCCUCGUGAAGUGGCUUAGGGGUCAAUAGUGGGUUGGUGGCUGAGGUUGCAGGCCGACAAGGAGAGGGUGGUCGGCGAUGGCGGUGGCCUCUGCUCUGGCUGUCUCCUGCGGAGGGCACAUAUUUGUGAGGUUGCCCUUCUCGUGGCAGCGACGUGGAGACCAGGGGACGGCGUGUAUGGAGGUCAGCGUUAGUGUCGGUGCAGCGGCCUGGUUCGAUCCAUCCUCCAUUGGCGUCGGUGCUCGAGGUGAGCAACGACGUUUGCAGGGGGCUCCUUUUGGACAUGGUGAGGACGCUUCUGUGGUCUGGCAGGGGGCAGUGAGCUCUCAUGCUCAUGUGCUUGCCGGACUCGGCGGCGUGUGUGCGGCGGUGAGGCCCGAGAUUUGAGGCUUCGGGCGAAUGCCUACCGUCGACUUGGUCGCCAGUGAUGAUGGCGAUGCCCUCGGGUGUCGCUUCAACAAGUCAUUAUGAAGCUUCAUACCCCGUUCCUGAUGUGCUCCGGGCGAAAGCCAAAAUCCUUCCUUGGAUUGGACUAUGACGAUAUCUUCGAUGUCGUUUUCCCCCUUGGGGGCGUAGUCUUGGAGACAUGUAUCCGUCGUGGGUUGUUUGGUGUCUCGGUUGGAGCAUGGUAGGUUUGUUGGUCUGUUUGGUGGCGAUGGUGGAAGUGAUACGUGGCGGUGGCCUUUGCCUUGGUCAUCCUGGUGCUACCUGUCGACCUCUCUCUUGGGGGCUUGUGGCGGCGGGGAUGACUCGGACUUCGGUGCCCUUCGAUGACUCUUGAGAUUUUGUUGCCUUGCAUAGUGCUCUCAUUCCCUCUAUUUGUGAUGGUGGCCGUGGUGUGGCUCAGAGGAGGUGCAGGGCUGUCUCGACGGAACAUUGCCCUUCAACACAGUCUGCAACUCUCUUUGGUGGCGUCGUGGCUCGGCAUUAGAAAACUCUUCGAUGGUGGUUGCGACUCUCCUAGUUCUUCAAGGUGCUGAGUGAUCGCAGGGCAUCACGCAACUUCUUCUCAACGUCUUCUUAGUGUCGGAUCUCCUUUCGUCGGACCCAUCAAUGAUAGUUUCCUCUCUUUUCGGUCUACCUCUCAUGAUGGGUGCUAAGUUCUUGGUGUGGGUUGUUUGUCCUAGCUUGCUUCAGGUUCUCUUUCUGGUGUUCUCUUUAAUGUAUGGGAUGCUACUUGUUGUUUCCGUUGUGUUUGUAUCUUCCGNNNNNNNNNNNNNNNNNNNNNNNNNNNNNNNNNNNNNNNNNNNNNNNNCUUCCGAUCUCGGUUUUGAAAAUGAAAAUUGUUCAGGCCGGCUUUUGCCCACCGUAGCAGCGUAAAAAAAAGUCAGUUCCUGGUACCAAAUCCGUGUGGAGUUUGCACUCAAGAUGCAGAGUGAAAGUGUACUACACUUUGAAUUACACUACAUUGGGCAUGUCGAGAGAAAAUGCAUCUCCAACAUACAUUUGAUUCCUGACGGUACUUUGUGCAUUGGAAAGUUGUCUUUUCAGCAAAAAUUCGUAUGGUAAAAAUUUCUUGCUUUGAGAUUAAUUGUUCAAAGCAAGAUACUUUUACCAAGAGCACUCCCGAGAAAGAAUUCAAUAUCUUCUCUUAUGUAUGAGAUGAUCUCUUGGCUUAGUGUUUAAGAGAAUGUUUUUCUUUUGCAAAAGAGAUAUUUUCCCACCAUUGUACCUGCCAUAUAUUAACCAUAUUGUUCCAACCUAGUUAUAGAGUCACACGACCAUUAAUUUCUAGAAAUGAAAUCUUUUAAUUAGUCCUUUCUGCAAUUUUUACAAGAGUAUUGUUAUGUAGAAAUAAAAUCUUUCAAUUAGUCCUUUCUGCAUUUUUUACAAGAGUAUUGGUUGCUUUGUACCUGUGAUAAAUCUUUAGCAAAACCGAGAUUUUUGUAAUGGGCACAUAAUACAUUGAUCCGACGGGGCAUAACUUUUUGGCGGUAGCUUGCUCCUCAGCUCUUAGAUGUGUUUGACCACUUGCAUUGCUUUUCCUUACUUUGCGUGUGUGGCUCAUAUGAGCCUGAUUGAGGUAAUGCAUGCAAAAAACUAUUUUGCUCAUUAUUUGAUUACCUGCAUAUUGCUUGUGCAUGGGUGUUCUGUUCUAGUAAUUUUGGACACUACAUGGUGAGUUUACCAUCUACCACCCUAGCAAGUAUUCACUUCAUUACAUACGAUCAAAACGAUCACUUGAGUAAAACAACACUAGAAUCACGACAAACUGGAUGUAGAUGACGAAGUUCUUCACCCCACAUAGCCUAAUGUCUUGUCUUACACUCCCUUGAAGACAACAACCUUGGGAACUUGUUCAUCAUUGUUAAUCCGUUCUUCAAGCACGUAUCAUUGAUAGCCAUCCUCUAACCGGCCGCUGUCUCCUCUUAAACCCUCCUAGACAGGAGCUGCCUAGGUAACCCUUGACCCGCAUAUUGACAAGAGAGCCGAAAUUGAAGCAGGAAAGCAAAUGAACACAACCAUGUGGAAGAGAAACAACAUAGGCAUGCAUGAUCACAUAAGGCCGCACAAGUUCGUCAUAAGUGUUGGAAAUUUGCCCUAGAGGCAAUAAUAAAUUGGUUAUUAUUAUAUUUCCUUUUUCAUAAUAAUUGUUUAUUAUCCAUGCUAGAAUUGUAUUGAUUGGAAACUCAAAUACAUGUGUGGAUACAUAGACACCACACUGUCCCUAGUGAGCCUCUAGUUGACUAGCUCGUUGAUCAAAGAUGGUCAAGGUUUCCUAGCCAUAGACAAGUGUUGUCACUUGCUAACGGGAUCACAUCAUUAGGAGAAUGAUGUGAUGGACAACACCCAAACUAUAAACGUAGCAUAUGAUCGUGUCAGUUUAUUGCUACUGUUUUUCUGCAUGUCAAUGUAUCUGUUCCUAUGACCAUCAAAUCAUUCAACUCCUGGACACCGGAGGAAUACGUUGUGUGUAUCAAAUGUCGCAACGUUACUGGGUGACUAUAAGGGUGCUCUACAGGUAUCUCCAAAGGUGUCUGUUGGGUUGGCAUGGAUCAAGACUGGGAUUUGUCACUCCGUGUGACGGAGAGGUAUCUCGGGGCCCACUCGGUAAUACAACAUCACAACAAGCCUUGCAAGCAAUGUGACUAAGGAGUUAGUUACGGGAUCUUGUAUUACGAAACGAGUAAAGAGACUUGCCGGUAACGAGAUUGAACUAGGUAUGGAGAUACCGACGAUCGAAUCUCAGGCAAGUAACAUACCGAAGGACAAAGGGAACAACAUACGGGAUUAACUGAAUCCUUGACAUAGAGGUUCAACCGAUAGAGAUCUUCAUAGAAUAUGUAGGAGCCAAUAUGGACAUCCAGGUCCUGCUAUUGGUUAUUGACCGGAGAAUGUCUCAGGUCAUGUCUGCAUAGUUCUCGAACCCGCAGGGUGUGCACACUUAAGGUUCGGCAACAUUUCAGUAUAGUUGAGUUAUAAGUGUUGGUAACCGAAAGUUGCUCGGAGUCCCGGAUGAGAUCUCGGAUGUCACAAGGACCUCCGGAAUGAUCUGUAGGUAAAGAUUGAUAUAUAGGAAGUCCUGUUUUCGUCACCGGAUAAGUUUCGGGCUCAUCGGUAGUGUACCGGGAAUGCCGGGAGGGUACCGGGGACCAUCAGGAGGGGUGUCACGCCCCGAGGGGCCUUAUGGGUUGUCUCCUUCCCCAACUAGCUAGAUAGAUCUAGCCAUUUAAUGAAGUGACAUAUCUACCUCCCUAACUAGAUAUAGCCCACCAUGUCAAGAUCACUCGCUAGCUAGAGGUGUUUGGAGACACGCAGAUCGACCUCAUCACUGUGCUCGAUCUGAGGUACAUGAGUGAAAGUUUGUGCUUUGCAAGAAUGGAAAUAUAUAUUUGUGUGUGUGCGAUAUAUUAACCUAAUUGGGUGAUAAGAUGGAAAUAUGCGUGUGGCACGAGUUAUCGUCGAAUUUUGCUUGAGUUGCCUAUGUUUUGUAGAAAUGUAGAUUUAUUUCCAUUUCGGCGAAUUUUAGGCAAACUCUAUAUGUCCUAUGUUUAGGGAAGGUCAUACUGAAUUUUUGUAUGACUUCGAUGCAUGCAUGCAUUUUAUAAUCAAAUUGUUUAUUAUUACUACACACGCAAUCAUGAUGGUCAGUGGAACGAUGGUGAAAAGGUGGUUGCGAUCGGCGGUACAGGACAUGAAUGAAAAUAACUAGACAAAGAUCUUAUGUCCGUGUCGAAAUUACAAAGGAGGAGUUUGGCUCAACCCUUAUGAGCAUGGUCGUUUGAAGGCGCACCUUCUUAUGAUUGGUUUCAUGGAUGACUAUACUCGAUGGGUAAUUGAAGAUCAUGAUGAUGAGGACGCCAACGGGAAAACCAAUGACGACAUUUGCGAGAUAAAGAGAUGACCGACAAUGGCGGCGGAGAAGGGACCACACAUGGUGGCAGAGAAGAUCUAGAGCCAGACAUGACGGUGGAGAAUAGGUUGGACAUGGCGGCGGAGAAGACAUGGACACGCCACAACCUUCAUCGCUACUAAGUUCAAUCGUGCAGGACCCUCAUGUUCGAGACCUCCUUCGCAAGGAGAUGAGUACCGAUAGAGCUGCUUACAAAGAGGAGGCCAAGCUGGAGCAAGUGGAGAUAGACUCGAACACUCCAUUGUAUGUUGGCUGCGAUCCCGAGGUGACCCGCUUGAGUUUCACGCUCGAACUACUCAAGACGAAGGCUAAAAACAAAUGGACCGACAUAAGCCUCGAUGAGCUUAUCAAGUACCUAAGGAAGGUUCUUCCCACGGGGAAUCUAUGUCCUACUAGUGUGGAUGAGGCCAAUAAGAUCGUGUGCCCUCUUGAUCUGCCGCACAUUAGAUACCAUGCAUGCAUCAAUGAUUGCGUCAUCUAUCGGAAGGAGCACACGAAAAAAAUGAGUUGCCCGGUGUGCAAUGCUUCUCGAUACAAGAAGGUCAGAAAGAAAAUUCCCUAUAAAGUUGUAUGUCACUUACCGAUCACUCCCCGUCUGCAACGUUAUUUUGUAGAUCCUAAGGAAGCAAGGCUCAUGCGUUAGCACGCAUAGAGGAAAAAGCCCGACGAUGGAGAUGAUUCCUGAGACACCUCGCAGAUGCAAGCUAGUGGAGAGCAUUCAAUGCCGAAUAUCGAUAUUUUGCAGGUGAUGCAAGGAACAUCGUGCUAGGCAUGAGUACCGAUGGCAUGAAUCUGUUUGGCAACCAGAGCACGAGCCAUAACACAUGGCUCGUGUUUGUAUGGAUGUAUAACCACCCUCCUGGUUAUGCAUGAAGUCAAAGUACAUACACAUGAGCAUGCUCAUUCAAGGGCCGUAAAAACCGUAAAUAAUAUUAAUCUGUAUUUGGGGCUACUUCAAGAGGAGUUAGACACGUUAUGGAAAAUACCAUCCAAGACAUGGGAUGCGAGCAAAGGCCACUAUUUUUAUAUGAGAGUCGCGCUGAUGAUGAUAGUGCACAACUAUCUCGGUUACGGAUAUCUCGCAUGCCAAGUAUUCCACGGAUAUCUCGCAUGCCAGGUAUUCCACGGAUAUUGCGGAUGCACGCAAUGCAUGGAUGAUACAACGUCUCAUCAGCUAACGUCAAUGAAAGAUGGCGGGUCUGGGAAAAUCGUGUACAUGAGGCAUCAAAGAUGUCUCAUGAAGAACGACGCAUUGAGAUCUAUUCAAUGGUGAGGCUGAACAUCGAGGACCUCCAUGUAAGCGGAGCGGCGCGGAAAUCGAUGAGCUAUUGAAGAACUGGAAAUGGUGCCCCACGCCGGGAAAGACGAUGAAAAAGGCGUCAGAGCCACUACUGAAGGUAUGGAAAACGAGGUCGGUUUUCUGGGACUUGGAAUACUGGCCCAAACUCAACAUGCCUCAUUGCCUUGAUCAAAUGCAUAUCACGAAGAAUGUCCUUGAGAGCUUGCUUGCGACAUGGAUGAACAUGCUAGAUAAGACCAAGGAUGGACCGAAGGCAAGAAGAGACAUGGAAGAUUUAAAAAUCAGGGCAGAUCACCACAUGUCGCCCCGUAAAAAUUCACAAGAGACGGAGACAAAGACGGAGGCACGAGACAAGGGCCAAAAGUGAACAAGAAGGAAGAGAAUUAUUGCUCCCCUUCUUGCUUUACCUUAAGUCCGAAGGAGAUCGAACAAUUCUUCAAGUGCCUUACCAGAAUCAAAGUUAGUUCCGGUUACUCUGGGAAGAUAAGCACAUUUCUAGACACAAAGAAGAAAAGAUUCAGCGGGAUGAAGUCUCAUGAUUGUCAUGCGAUGAUGACACAAAUACUACCUGUUGCCCUAAGAGGGUCAAUGGACAAGCACGUCCGUGACACGCUUAUUGGUCUCUGCAACUUUUUCGAUGUUAUCUCUCGAAAGUUGAUCAGUGUGAAGCAACUCCAAAGGCUACAUGAAGAGAUCGUUGUGAUACUAAAUGAGCUUGAGAUGUACUUCCUGCCCGUGUUCUUUGACGUCAUGGUGCAUCUGUGUGUCCACAUUGUGGAUGACAUAAUAGACCUGGGACCGACAUUACUGCACAGCAUGAUGCCGUUCAAGAGGAUGAAUGUGGUCAUCAAAGGAUUCUUUCAUAAAAUGUCCCAUACGGAUGGAAGCAUCAUCUAGGGAUAUCUGACCCAAGAGUGCAUCUCUUUGUGCGAGAAUUAUCUAUAUUGCAGAGACCCUGUUGUUGGUUUGCCCAUUAAUAAGCACCUUGGAAGGCUCGAAGGAGAAGGUCACUCCAACGGUCACAAGGCACUACAUGUGGGUUACUCGGAUUGAUGCAACGACUUUGACAUAACAAACUUAGUAGUGCUAUAUCACCUAGACAUGCUAGAUCCUUUCGUGACACUGUACAAAGAAACCAUCGCAAAGAAGUAUCAUGACCGGGGACUAUGCAUGACGAACACUGAAAUUAUUAGAGAGCACAACUCCACUUUCCUGCCUUGGCUCAAAGAGCAUGUUCUUGCUAAUCGCCCGAAAGAGGACUCUACGGACGGAUUGCUCAUAUAGGCGUUAGCACAUGGCCCCGCGGCCAACCGCGGUAUUAAAUCUUUGGUCAUGCAGUGUAAAUCCGUUGAUAGGUCGUGAGGUUAUGGCAACGGAUUUACAUUGCAUACGAUAUCAAUGGAUACACGUUCUACACAGUGGCCAAAGAUAUAAACAAUGAUUUUCAGAACUCAGGGGUGACGAUGGAAUGCAUGAUCAGCGACAACGCUGCAACUGAAAGAUUCUACGGAAAGGUCGAGGAGAUAUGGGAGCUUGACUAGUCUAGACUACACAGUGCAACGAUGUUCCGUGCUAGGUGGGCUAAGAAUUAAUGUCGAACGAGAAAACCGGUAUUUCACUACCAUGUCUAUACCACAUGCAUGGAGUUCUACCAAUAAGUUUGAAGCAUUAAACUACUAUCCUAACAUCCAAGUUUAGAGCAGAUUUAAUACCACAUGCUCCGAUUUACACUCCAUGACCAUAUCCACAAUAGUAUCAUCGUACACAAACUGAAAAACUACAUGAAAUCGGACUACCAAACCCUAAUGUUCUAGGAAUCCAUCACCAAUAUCUACCACAACAUCACAUGCUCAUAGGUCGACGCUCUAAAAUGCUACCAGUGUUCAUAGUUCUAUCCCUGGGACAUGCUCACAAAUCAAAUCUCCAUCGAUUAGGGGGGAGGGGGUGGGCGGGUGAUAGAACUUACAACCAUCGGGGAGAAAGGAGUUGAAACGGAAGUCGUCAGAGAAGAGCAUGAUCAUGGAGCGCCACCAUGGUCCAGUGUUGAGCACAGAAAAUACGCCGCUUACGUGCUGGUUGCCGACAAAAUCGACCGGUAUGGAUAGCAUGCCAGUUGGUGGGGGUGGGGGUGGGAUGGUGGCGAUGACCCGAUGGGGGCUAAAUAGAGCAUCCCAUUUGGCGGGAGGUGACCCAAUUCCAACAGCCAUUUUUUUCUCGCACGCACGAGAUCAUGCCAUCCCUUCCUUGCAUCUGCUCAACACGGUGCUCCUUUCGUUUACACGACACAAGCGUGGAUGGGAAAAAACAACCAAUUUGGGUGUUCCCGCUGGGCCUGGCAGCAAGGUUCUUUAAGAAGCAGCUUGCGAUGUGGGCGAAACAGUGAAAACGGUAAACCCAACGGGCCAAAUUUGUCACUACAAGAAAUAUGUCAACUAACGACCUUCAAUAUUGGUCACUGAAUGGUCAUUGAUUUCCAUUUGUGACCUUUUUAUGACCAAAAACAGAAGGUCUAAAGCUGAGGGUCUUUAAUGAACUAUAACGACCUUUUUUCUGGAUUGGUCGUAGGAUUUUAUGACCAAACAGAAGGUCGUAGGUUUAACGACCAAAUGAUUUGGUCACUAGCAAUUUGCCGGCACCACAUCAGAUCCACCGUGGCAGGCUGACGUGGCAGAAUUAUGACCAAAUGAAAAGGUCGUAAAUAAGAUUCAGCCCUGUCCAUUCCGGUCGUCUACAUGGGUCGGGCCCAAUAAUUUGGCCUUUUAUUUUCCGGGAUAGAAUCUUUUACCGAGCAGGUUUUUUAUUAGUCCACUUUUCUUUUGGCCUUGGCCUACUCUUUUUAGUCCAGUUCUUGUUUGGGCCUUGGCCUACUCUUUUUUUAGGCCCAAGCCUUUUUAGACAAAUUCUAAUUUGGGCACUCUUUUUUUAGGCCCAAGCCUUCUUAGUCUAUUUCUUGUUUGGGCCUCGGCCUUUUUGCUGUCCAAACUAACUUUAGUGCCCAAAAAAAUGGUCCAAACAAAACUUAAAUAAUUGACAACUUCACAGGUGCACAGCUUCACAAAAUACUUCAUCAGGUUCACAGGUUCAAAUAGAGCAAGACAUUGUUUCAUCACCAGAAUGACCAAUCAAGUGGGCUAACUUCAUCAGGUUCUUUAGAAGUUAGCCCACUUCACUGUUUCUAGGACAUGUUCUACGACAGGUUCAACUUCUCUUCCUGUUCCUGAGACUUCUUCGUCCAUCGGCGAAAACUCAUCACACAUUUCCACCGAGCUCUCAAAGUCCAUGCCUAGCAGACUUUCCUGAUGGUCCAUCACGGCCGCCAUAGUUGCUUUCUGCCUUGUGACUCUAUCAGGUUCAUCAGGUUUGAGGAUCCUCUUUGUUUGUCCUAGAGAUGGGGCCAUCACCCUUCCUGGAGGCAUUGCAGCAGAUGCUUCUGAGCUCUUCCUCUUCUUGCUGGCUGUCUUCUUAACACCAGGCCUCUUCGUUCUAGAUUCCUUCAGUGCCUUGUAUAAAUAUCACAGAAAAAAUUAGAUCACAAGAUAAAUAUGUGAGCACAAGGAAACACAGAGCAUACAAGAACCCGAACCCUCCAAGCAAGACAGAGUUUGCACCUUAACAGUCUUGUGCACUACAACUUCAUCCUCCUUAGGAUUGUACUCAGGGUCAUCACUGAUAACUCCACUACCUUCUUGAACCCCAUUAGUUGUACCUUCUUGUACAUCAUUUGUUUUCCUAAUCAUUGACGCUAUUGCAUCAAUGCCAAGGGACUGGAAUAUCCGAUUGUUCCUCAUCAUAUUUCUAGCCCUAACCUUCUCGUACUCGGUGAGAGGAUGCUCAUCUUUGCAAGGCAAAGUAAACAUAAUUAUUAGGUUAAUUGUUGGAAUGCAUGGACAAACAACCAAACAUAUCUUAUGAUAUUUUAUUAUCAUUUAAUCCUACUUAUUCAGCUAAGGAAGAGUAAUGGCACACAUGCACAACUAAGCCAGCUAAUUCAGAUUACAGCAAUACAUUUGCAUAAUAAAAUCUGACAGUAUUUUACAUCACGAGCCUCCAAGAUAUUUUACUUAGCAUAUUACAUUUCACUUAGCAUAUUAAGACACUUUUUAUAAAUCUGACAGUAUAACCACAAGGAGCAACUUGCAUACCACUGGUUGGCCUCGGGUUUGACCUUGUCAUCCUUGACAUGGAUGAUCUUGAGGUGGUGCUUGCAAAAUAGAAUAAACAACAAUCAGAUACAACAGGGAUAAAGUAAAAUGAUGCACUUAUAUCAAUAAAGGAAAGCAUUUAGACGAGCAUGCACAUACAUGUAAUACAUGCGAAGCAAACUUGUUGGAUCAACAAUAUAGUGAUGCAGUUAAUGCAUCAGUACUAAUACAUGUAAAACACUUGGACCAGCAUGCACAUACACGUGUAGCAAUGCACAUACAGUUAAUGCAUCAGUACUAAACUGACAGUUGAAGCAAGCAACUAAAUUGAAGCACUUGGACUACCAUGCACAUACAAGUGUAGCAAUGCAUCAGUAUUAAAACAUGUGAAACAGGAGGUAGUAAUGUACUAAACUGAUAGUUGAAGAAAACUAUAUAUGUGAAGCAAUGCAUUAACCAUUUACAACAAUUACUUUUAUGUUUUAACUUGCAAUUUUAUCCAUGUACGUGCAAUCAUCUAUAAGCAAAGUAAUUACUCAACUGUAUCCCUAAUGGAGGCAAACAUAUGCAUUCAUAGCAACUGGUUGCCCAACAUUUGGGGAAUAAAGAAGCAAGGAGUGUGCAAGCAAGCAAGCAAAGUGCAUAAGUGCUACUAAUACAAGCAAGCAAGCAAAAGAAGUGCUACUGAUAGAAACAAGCAUAGUGCUACUGAUAGAAACAAGCAAGCAAGGAAGAAAAUUGAAGAGGAACAAGCAAGCAAGUACAGUUGAUACCAACCCUAGUAGCUUCUUCUCCAAGUGCUACUGAUACAAGCAAGUAUUGCUGAUGGAAACUCUAAUUAACCAUGUAUGCUAGCAAGCAAGCAAGCCAUAGUAGUCAAGCAACGUGAACAUGAACCCUAACCCCAUGAAGCAGACUAACAGAGGGGGAUAGAACGAACCACUAGGAAUAAAUCCCAUGAACAUGAACAAGAACCUCCAGGAGCUCCUAGAUUGACUGAAUCCUAACCCUAGAUCGACCAGGUGGGGGAUGUACCCCCAUUUGUUACCCAUCACAAAUGCAGGACCCCAUGAUCCAGCCCCAUUGAUCCAACCCCAUGACAACUACAACCCUAACCCCAUGAAUCUACAGAACCACGUCAGCAGACAUAUUUACCCCAUGAACCCUAACCCUAACCCCAUGAAUGUACCGAACCAUCCUCAUUGAUCCAGCCCCAUGAACCCUAGAAUACCACAUGAGGGGGAUCUAUCAAACCCUAGAAGAUCUACUAGAAGAACACAUGAGGGGAUCUAUCAACGGGAGAUGGGUCGAGGGGAGAGGUACCUAUCGUCGUCGACUGUUGAUUAUGUAGACGUACCCGCUGUCGUCGUCGAUGUAGUCAUAGCCGUCGACGUCGAUGUAGAUGUAGCCGUCGUCGUCGAUGUAGAUGUAGCCGUCGACGUCGUCGAUGUAGUCGUCGUCGGGGAGAGGGGCGGAGGGGCGGCGCGGAGCACGGGAGGGGCGGCGGAGCGGCGCGGAGCAGGGGAGGGGCGGCGGAGUGGGGAGUGAAAUGGAUCCCGCGUGGGUAGUGGGGAGUGGAAUGGAGAGGGGAGUGGGAGAGGGAGUGGUGGGUCCCGCGUGGUAGUGGGAGAGGGAGUGGAGGGAAAUUUUGGUGGGGUGAGAGGGAAAAUUUGGUGGGGUGGGAGGGAAAAUUUUCAUUAGUUUUUUGGGGUUUGGAGGCACACUUUUUCUUUUUCUUUUUUAAAAACAUUGUAGAAAUAAUGGUUAAAGUCAUACCGAAUAGUUCAAGAAGACAUCAGUACUCUAAUUUAUAUAUCAAUUCUAGUUGGUAGGUCACAUGUGAUGAUGCGACACGAAGGUUUCCCAUUUUUUUGAUUUUUUUGAAUUUUUCAUGGCCAUUUCAAACUGCGGUCGAAACGGUGGGCAUGACCGUUCCUACCUAUUGGUUGAAUCUUGGAAACCUUUUGGAGUUUCUAUGAUUAAAUAGAUACUUGUGUACUGUGACGCCCUCGAUUUAAUCGUACGCUAAACAUACAUGCAAAUGCGUACGACCAAACCCAAGGACUCACGGGAAGAUAUCACAACACAACUCUAGACGCAAAUAAAAUAACAUCAGCUUCAUAUUACAAGCCAGGGGCCUCAAGGGCUAGAAUACGAAAGCUCGAUAAACACACGAGUCAGCGGAAGCAAAAGAUAUCUGAGUACAGACAUAAAACAACAUGGGGUGCCUUAGAGAAGGCUAGCACAAAAGAUACAACGAUCGAACGAGGCGAGGCCUCCUGCCUGGGAACCUCCUAACUACUCCUGAUCAUCAGCGACCUCCACGUAGUAGUAGGCACCGUCGGGGUAGCAGUCGUCGGUGGCGGGGACCUCCAUCUCCUGGGCUCCAUCAUCUGGUCGCAGCAAACGGAUCAAGGGGACAAGGGGGGAGGAAAGCAGCGGUGAGUACUCAUCCAAAGUACUCGCAAGUCUUACAUCAGAACUAUUCUAAUUAUGCAUCAGUAUCAAAGAAGGGCGGGUGUAUAUGUGGACUGACUGCAGCAAUGCGAGAAUAGAGAGAGAAGGCCUAGUCCUAUCGAAGACUAGCAUCUUCAGGGUCUUGCAGCAAUAGACGAGAGUAGAACAGGGGGGUAACAUUAAUAGUCAUAUUGUUGCAGCAAUAUUAAAGUGAGGUCACGCCUAAAGAUCCUCCCUCGACUCCCUGCGAGGAAGCAAUCCCGAGGCAAACUAAUUCCAGUUAAGUAACAAUUGUAGUUGUAAAAGAUCGGGGCACAACUCCAAGUCGUCCUGUAACCGUGGACACGGCUAUCCGAAUAGUUAAUUUUCAUCCCUGCAGGGGUGCACCACAUGUCCCGUCACACUCGUUAACACUCUGGCCGGACAUACUUUUCUGGGUCCUGCCCGGCCUCAGAAUAUCGACACGUCGCAGCCCCACCUAAGACUAAUAAGAGAGGCCAGCCCGUCGGUCUAAAUCCUAAGCACAAAGGGUUCGUGGGCCCAGUUCCCCUUCAUGCUCCUGCACGUGGUGUGGGCGGCCGACGUCAGUCCUAGCAUCCCUUAAUCACAAGCGCGAUGCAUCUCGGGACCACUCGGGCGCGCGCCGCUACAUUGCUCGCAUCUGAAAAGCUUCGGCUGAUACCGCGACGCCGAGUACCCAUAAUUCUUCCCGCGUAGCCGGUUAGUGCGAAAAGGUCUCCGACCAACCCAGAUCAAAUAACCAAAUCCAUUAACAUUUUAAUUAGGCCAACAACACAGUUUCACGGGAAUCCACCCGUCUUACAACUAAUCACCAAUGAUCCCAGUAACAUGGUCGAGUAACUGUGUGGUUGUAACAUCGGGGGGAAUCCGAGGUAUCACCCUCGUUGGAUUCCGAACGAUGUACCCGUCAAGGUGGGCUUAGAGGAAUCACCCUCGGGGGUCCCACACUUGAGGGGUUGCACGACAGAGGCGUCAUCGGGAAUGGCGAAAGAGGAAUCACCCUCGAUAACCACGACCAACUAGCUAUACUACAGAGAUAUCAUCAGGAGUACUUAGCGAGGUGUCACCCUCGGUACCCGAUAGUAUCUCUGUAGCGUCGUACAACGAAGGGGGGUGAAUGUGCUGUGUCGGGUCUGGCUCGUCGAUCAGAGAUCGAGAUUUGAAAACAAGCGGGGCAACUGAACUAGGGGUCAGAGGGGAUGACUGCUCCACCUAUACUAAGUAGAUUAAAGGUACAGGACUGAAAGUAGCAGUUCAUCAAAAACAGGCUAUGCAUCAGAUAUAGGAGCUAACUACAACAGUAGCAAAAUACUAAUGCAAGAAGUAGGAAGCAAGACAUAGGCGAUAUAGGAAUGAUCAAGGGGGGGUUUGCUUGCCUUGCUGCUCUGCGGCAAAGGACUAAUCGGCAGGGUUGUAGAUGUACCCGGCAGCAGCGUCAGUCUCGGGGUCUACCGGUAAGAAGAGGGGGAAGAAACAAUAAAUAAUAGCACCGAUGCAACACAAAGCAUGACAUGGCAAGAUGCAGGCUAGACAUGAGCUAACGCAGCAACAUCCGUCAUAGACGGGUCGGAAGAAUAUCUGACGAUAUUUUUCCGGGUCUCGGGCUACUACCGGUUAUACUGAAAACGAUGGAAAAGUUCCAUGUUUGCUAUGCUAGGGACGCGUGACACACGAACGGGCCGUGUAUCCGGGUUCGUCUCGUUUUGCUGAUCAACUUUCAUGUUGAAAAUAUUUUGAUCUGACUUACGGAUUAUUUAAUAUUAAUUUUUAAAGUUUUAUUAAUUAUUUAGGAAUUAAAAACAGAUUUAGCUAUUUUAAUAAAAUCCGUCAUAGACAGCGGGUGCUUUGGCCCCACCGGUAAGUGGCCUAAGGCUAUUUACUCAUUUUAUUAAUCACAAAUACAUAACCAUACAAAUGUUGUAUUCCUCUAAAUAUCCAUAUACGCAAAUACAUACAUCGCAUCUCAUACAUACAUACAUACAUACAUACAUACAUACGCAUCUAAUACAUUUUUUUUUAUUUUCUCUCAAAACUCUCAUCUCCCUCUCUGUCAACAGACAACAGAGAAACAACUCUGUGCUAACUCAACAUAGAAGAACCAAACGUUCAAUCCUUCCUACCGGAGUCUACCGUCGACGGAUCGGGGUCCCGUUUGCCGGAACGGAACCGGGGCGGCGAGGAGAACGACAUGGUGGGAGGAGCCCGAGGAGGGGCUCACCGACGUUGACGGGAGGGGCCGGUGAAGCCAGAGUUCGCGGGAAGGGGCGGAGGAGACGACAUGGAGGCGGACGAGGCGGUGACGGUGACGGUGACGGCGCGGUUCCGGUGGUGAUGCCGGUGAGGACGGUCGCCGAAGAAGUCGUGCCGGCGAGGUCUUGCCGAGAGGGGCCCCGAUGAGGAGGGCCCCCGGGAUGAAGCCGCCGACGGGGAGGGGCUCGGCCGGCGGGGCUCGUGGGGUCGGNNNNNNNNNNNNNNNNNNNNNNNNNNNNNNNNNNNNNNNNNNNNNNNNNNNNNNNNNNNNNNNNNNNNNNNNNNNNNNNNNNNNNNNNNNNNNNNNNNNNNNNNNNNNNNNNNNNNNNNNNNNNNNNNNNNNNNNNNNNNNNNNNNNNNNNNNNNNNNNNNNNNNNNNNNNNNNNNNNNNNNNNNNNNNNNNNNNNNNNNNNNNNNNNNNNNNNNNNNNNNNNNNNNNNNNNNNNNNNNNNNNNNNNNNNNNNNNNNNNNNNNNNNNNNNNNNNNNNNNNNNNNNNNNNNNNNNNNNNNNNNNNNNNNNNNNNNNNNNNNNNNNNNNNNNNNNNNNNNNNNNNNNNNNNNNNNNNNNNNNNNNNNNNNNNNNNNNNNNNNNNNNNNNNNNNNNNNNNNNNNNNNNNNNNNNNNNNNNNNNNNNNNNNNNNNNNNNNNNNNNNNNNNNNNNNNNNNNNNNNNNNNNNNNNNNNNNNNNNNNNNNNNNNNNNNNNNNNNNNNNNNNNNNNNNNNNNNNNNNNNNNNNNNNNNNNNNNNNNNNNNNNNNNNNNNNNNNNNNNNNNNNNNNNNNNNNNNNNNNNNNNNNNNNNNNNNNNNNNNNNNNNNNNNNNNNNNNNNNNNNNNNNNNNNNNNNNNNNNNNNNNNNNNNNNNAUUUUGUUUUCUUUUUUUUCCUUUUUUAUUAUUUCUUCCUUUCCUAUUUAUUUUACUAUCUGAUUUUUCUUUUUAAAUACUUUCUUUUAUUAUACUUUCUUUUACAAUUUAUUAUACAUACUUUUAAUUCUUUCUUUCAUAUACAUAUUCUUUUAAUAUUUGUAAUGAACUUAUAAAGUACUUUUCUUUUGUUUUCAAAUUUUGAAUCCGGAUAGACUUGAAUCAACGCGGGUCUGAGAUGGGAAUUCGAUGACGUGGCAUCGUUAGCGGUUGAUCACUGUAGCUUAAUUACAAUAAUUACUGUUGCAAAAGUCGAGGAUGUCACAUGUACCUACAAAUGAUUUUUGGAAAAAAUAAAGAGCAAACUAUAAGGCAGCCGCAGUUCAAAUUUGACCCGCUUCCAGCUGAUUCGACAUAGAUUUGUCUUUUUCACGAGAGAUGGAUAAAAUCUUUUGACACCCAACCAUUUUGUCAAUUGUAUAUUAAAUAUGGCCUAGUAUGUUAGAAAAAUGAUUUGGACCAAUUUUGAAACAAAUAUAUGGUAGGUCCUUCACAAAAAACUCAUUUCACGCACUUGAAAAAUGAAAAAUGAAUUUUUCAUACAAGGAAGAUGAAAACUUCCUUAAUCAACAUUGUUUGUCAUUCCAACAUGCACCAUUAUGCAAAAUAUAAUACCAUUUAAACAAACUAUGCCAUGAAUAUUGCCAUGAGAUUGAUCAUGUGGCUUGAAAGCCAUGAAUCUACACACAUGAUAGCUCAUUUGUGUGAACACUUUUUAAAAAUAAUUGUCGUAUGACAAGUUUAUUAUUUUACAUGGUAACUUUAUCACAUAUGAUGACAUAAUGCAAAUGUUUCCCAUUUUUUGUUUUUUUUGAAUUUUUCAUGGCCUUUCAAAAUGCGGUCGAAACGACGGGCAUGACCGUUCCUACCUAAUGGUUGAAUCUUGGAAAUCUUUUGGUGUUUCUAUGAUUAAAUAGAUACUUGUGUACCUAGAAAUGAUUUUUGGAAAAAAAAGCAAACUAUAAGGCAACCGCAGUUCAAAUUUGACCCGCUUCGAGGUGAUUCGACAUAGAUUUGUCUUUUUCACGAGAGAUGGAUAAAAUCUUUUUAACCAAUCUAAAUAGGAAAAUGCAAGUUAUUCAUGGUCCUAAAUAAAUAGCAACAAACUUUUCCUAAUUUGGCUUUUUUACCCUUUUCCUUUAUUCUUUUCGCAUGGGCCCUUGAGAGAGAUUUAGACCAGCCCACCAAGGGCUGAUACACCUCCUCUCAUAGCCCAUGAGCCACUCGGUUCAUUUUCUCUUGCUGUUUGUAUGUUUUGAAGUGCUCGUAGCCUUUUUUCAUACAAGGGAGAUGAAAACUUCCUUAAUCAACAUUGUUUGUCAUUCCAACAUGCACCAUUAUGCAAAAUAUGAGACCAUUUCAAUAAACUAUGCCAUGAAUAUGGCCAUGAGAUUGAUCAUGUGGCUUGAAAGCCAUGAAUCUUCACACAUGAUAUAUAGCUCAUUUGUGUGAACACUUUUUAAAAAUAAUUGUCGUAUGACAAGUUUAUUAUUUUACAUGGUAACUUUAUCACAUAUGAUGACAUAAUGCAAAGGUUUCCCAUUUCUUUGAUUUUUUUUGAAUUUUUCAUGGCCUUUCAAAAUGCGGUCGAAACGACGGGCAUGACCGUUCCUACCUAAUGGUUGAAUCUUGGAAAUCUUUUGGUGUUUCUAUGAUUAAAUAUAAGGCAACCGCAGUUCAAAUUUGACCCGCUUCGAGCUGAUUCGACAUAGAUUUGUCUUUUUCACGAGAGAUGGAUAAAAUCUUUUGACACCCAACCAUUUUGUCAAUUGUACAUUAAAUAUGGCUUAAUAUCUUAGAAAAAUGAUUUGGACCAAUUUUGAAACAAAUAUAUGGCAGGUCCUUCACAAAAAAACUCAUUUCGGGCACUUGAAAAAUGAAAAAUGAUUUUUUCAUACAAGGGAGAUGAAAACUUCCUUAAUCAACAUUGUUUGUCAUUCCAACAUGCACCAUUAUGCAAAAUAUGAGACCAUUUCAAUAAACUAUGCCAUGAAUAUGGCCAUGAGAUUGAUCAUGUGGCUUGAAAGCCAUGAAUCUUCACACAUGAUUGCUCAUUUGUGUGAAAACUUUUUAAAAAUAAUUGUCGUAUUACAAGUUUAUUAUUUUACAUGGUAACUUUAUCACAUAUGAUGACAUAAUGCAAAGGUUUCCCAUUUNNNNNNNNNNNNNNNNNNNNNNNNNNNNNNNNNNNNNNNNNNNNNNNNNNNNNNNNNNNNNNNNNNNNNNNNNNNNNNNNNNNNNNNNNNNNNNNNNNNNNNNNNNNNNNNNNNNNNNNNNNNNNNNNNNNNNNNNNNNNNNNNNNNNNNNNNNNNNNNNNNNNNNNNUCUAUGAAUAAAUAGAUACUUUUGUAUCUAGAAAUGAUUUUUGGAAAAAAUAAAGAGCAAACUAUAAGGCAGCCGCAGUUCAAAUUUGACCCGCCUCCACCUGAUUCGACAUAGAUUUGUAUUUUUCACGAGUGAUGGAUAAAAGCUUUUGACACCCAACCAUUUUGUCAAUUGUAUAUUAAAUAUGGCCUAGUCGUUCCUACCUAGUGGUUGAAUCUUGGAAACCUUUUGGUGUUUCUAUGAUUAAAUAUAUACUUGUGUACCUAGAAAUGAUUUUUGGAAAAAAUAAAGAGCAAACUAUAAGGCAGCCGCAGUUUAAAUUUGACCCGCUUCGAGCUGAUUCGACAUAGAUUUGUCUUUUUCACGAGAGAUGGAUAAAAGCUUUUGAUACCCAAUCAUUUUGUGAAUUGUACAUUAAAUAUGGCCUAGUAUGUUAGAAAAAUGAUUUGGACCAAUUUUGAAACAAAUAUAUGGUAGGUCCUUCACAAAAAAACUCAUUUCGGGCACUUGAAAAAUGAAAAAUGAAUUUUUCAUACAAGGAAGAUGAAAACUUCCUUAAUCAACAUUGUUUGUCAUUCCAACAUGCACCAUUAUGCAAAAUAUGAGACCAUUUCAACAAACUAUGCCAUGAAUAUGGCCAUGAGAUUGAUCAUUUGGCUUGAAAGCCAUGAAUCUUCACACAUGAUAGCUCAUUUGUGUGAACACUUUUUAAAAAUAAUUGCCGUAUUACAAGUUUUUAAUUUUACAUGGUAACUUUAUCACAUAUGAUGACAUAAUGCAAAUGUUUCCCAUUUUUUGUUUUUUUUGAAUUUUUCAUGGCCUUUCAAAAUGCGGUCGAAACGGCGGGCAUGAUCGUUCCUACCUAGUGGUUGAAUCUUGGAAACCUUUUGGUGUUUCUAUGAUUAAAUAUAUACUUGUGUACCUAGAAAUGAUUUUUGGAAAAAAUAAAGAGCAAACUAUAAGGCAGCCGCAGUUUAAAUUUGACCCGCUUCGAGCUGAUUCGACAUAGAUUUGUCUUUUUCACGAGAGAUGGAUAAAAGCUUUUGAUACCCAAUCAUUUUGUGAAUUGUACAUUAAAUAUGGCCUAGUAUGUUAGAAAAAUGAUUUGGACCAAUUUUGAAACAAAUAUAUGGUAGGUCCUUCACAAAAAAACUCAUUUCGGGCACUUGAAAAAUGAAAAAUGAAUUUUUCAUACAAGGAAGAUGAAAACUUCCUUAAUCAACAUUGUUUGGCAUUCCAACAUGCACCCUUGUGCAAAAUAUGAGACGAUUUCAACAAACUAUGCCGGAAGAUCAACAACUAGUGGUCAUGAUGUCUUUUUAUGUGUGAUUGAUGGUCAUGAUCUGUUUAUAGCAACUGGUUAGGACACUUCAUUGUCAUGGACACUUAAACACGUAAUACAACAAAUUAAGUGCUCUCUUUAGCUAGCAGAUUUCACAUAAUACAACAAAUAACAUAUACCAGUCUAGUUCUCUUUAGCUAGCAGAUUUCACAUAAUUUUCACACUUAAAGACAUUUGCAACAAAUAAGAAGUCACUUAAACCAAUCUAUGAACAAAUAAGAUACAACAAGUAAGAUCAACCAAUCUAUCAACAUACUUGGGUUGAACAAAGAUAAAGUCACUUAAUUAUACAUAAUUAAGAGAUUCUUCUCAUCUUGCAUUACAACAUUGCUACAAAAGAGCAACACACCAACAAUAGCAUAGUGCAGUUACAAACAUAGCAUAGUGGAGUCACUUAAUCAUACAUAAUAUAGAGAUUCUGAUCAUCUUGCAUUACAACAUUGGUACAAAAGAGCAACACAACAACACAUCAACCAUAGCAUAGUGGACUUCAUCUUCAUCUGAUCAGCUCAUCCAUCCAAAAUGUCCCUGAUCAUCUUCAACUUCUCUUGGUUCUUCUCCAAUGCCUUCAACUGAUCAGCAAUCUGGAUCUUCAGCUCAUCCCUGCGUUUAAUCAGAUUCUCAAUUGCAUUCUUCAGACCAUCAAUUUUGUCCUCAGAUUUUGAUAGUUUAUCAACCUGAAGCUUUAAAUUGUAGUUCUCUUCAGUAAGCUUCUCCUUCUCCUUCAAAUGAUUUGCCUUCUGGGUCCUAAUGACCAUGCCUUGAGCUUCUGCAAGGUUGAGCAGUUGAUUCACAUCUUCUACUAGUUUGUCAUAGUUUGCAUCAAGAUUUCUUUUCUCCUCUGUGAGGUGGUGAAUUUUUAGUGAAUUCUCCAAAUUAUCAUCCCUCCUAGCACUCUUGCUGUCUUCCAACAUUUCCCACAGUUUUAACAAUGCAUUUUGCAUUGUGGGAGGCCACUCUUGGUCUACCCAACCAACAAAACCACAGUUUUGAGGUGGCUGCAAUACAAAAUAACCAGUACUUCAGCAAUAUAAAAUAACCAGAAAAUAACAAGCCAGAAUUCUGUAAUAAACAUGCAAUGACAGUGUUGUAAUAAACAAGCAAUGACAGUGCUGUAACAAGCCAGAAUCUUUUAGCUAAACUAGCAAUGAUAGUGUUGUAAUAAACAAUGAGAGUCUGAAUAUUUGAGCUAAACAAACAAUGAUAGUGAUGUAGUAAACACUGACAUUCUGAAUCUUUUGAGCUAAACAAACAAUGACAGUCUGAAUAUUUUAGCUAAACAAACAAUGACAGUGAUGUAGUAAACACUAACAGUCUGAAUCUUUUCAGCUAAACAAACAAUGACAGUCUGAAUCUUUUGAGCUAAACAAACAAUGUCAGUCAGAAUAUUUUGAGCUAAACAAACAAAAUUGCAGGGAACAACUAGAUAGAAAAAACAGAAGCAACUUCAUGCAUGUCUAACACUAAAGAAGAUAGAACUAACUGGCUGAGCACACACUAAAAUUGUUCUCCCUGUCUCAAAUCCUUCGAAUGCUACGCGACACUCAGGCGGCAGCCCAUGCUCCAAGCAAACAUCUAGGGCAGAAUUCUCGAUGCCCAUGUAGUCUUCGUCGUCGAUGCUAGAACUACGUAAGAACUGCCUUAUGUGACCUUGGAGCCGGUGUUAGUGUUAUGCCGCUCUCUCUUUAUCGUAGACUUGAGUUGGAUAAGUUGACACCCACUAAAAUUUCUCUGCAAAUGGCCGACAAAUCAACUGCUUUCCCUAUCGGCAUUUGCGAGGAUGUGCCAGUUAUGGUUGCUAAUACCACUAUCUUAACAGACUUUGUUAUCUUGGACAUUCCCGAGGACGAUGCCAUGGCUAUCAUUCUCGGAAGACCCUUUUUAAACACUGCAGGGGCUGUUAUAGAUUGCAACAAAGGCAAUGUCACUUUCCAUGUCAAUGGUAAUGAGCACACCGUGCACUUUCCGAAGAAACGAUAUCCAGUACAUUGCAUCAAUGCUAUCGAAAAGACUUCAUCGAUUCUCAUUGGGAGCUUUGAAUGCCCUAUUCCUCGUGUCAAGAUGAAGUAUGAUUUGCUUGUUGGGGAGAUACAUAUCCCCAUUGAGGUGACUUAGUGGCUAUUCGAAAAUUCUCCGUUCUCUCUUGCGAUUUGAGAAAGUUUUGUCAUAAGGACUUGAUCAAUCCCAUUGACGGAUUUCCUUCGAUGACCAUGAGACGGAUGAAUCAAAGAGUCACAUACCUAUGUUUUGAGUUUUCCUUUUCUGUUGCUUAGAAGAAAAAUGAUAGAAUUAGUUUAGUUUUUCCUGUUUUCUGUUUUAGCGUCCCGGAGAAAAAUACCUCGAAAAUAAAAGUUCUCCGAUGGUCCUGAAAAUUUAGUAUGAUUUUUUUCUGAAAUUUUUGAAAAUUUCUGGGCCUAAGAGCUGGUCAGGGGGCCUGACCAGUGGGCCACAAGCCCCCCCACCGCCACCUACCCCCCUGGUGGCGGGGUGCAAGCUUGUGGGUCCCACAGGCACCCCCUCCACUCAUUCCAGCUCUCAACCUCUUCUUCCACCUCCAGAAAAAAAUGUUUCGCAGCUCAAACCCGUGUUCUUGCUCAUUUGGCUGUGAUUUUCGAUCUCCUUGCUCAAAGCACCAUUCUCCGAACUGUUUUGGGGAAAUUGCUCCUUGGUAAGUGACUCCUCCAUUGGUCCAAUUAAUUUUUGCUCUAGUGCUUUAUCCUUCGCAAAUUCUUGCUACCUUGGUGACCUUGUUCUUGAGCUAGAAAAGUUGAUUUUAGCUAGUCCCAAGUAGUUUUAGCGCGUGAUACGGUCUCUAGGCACUAGUAGGAGUAGUUGCUACAAGGUGUGGUGGGUCUUUAUUCACUUUUCUCUUGAACUUCAAAAAUUUCAGCAUAAGGAAAUUAUUUUCAGGAGGAAGUUUCAUGGUGGUUCCUUAAGUAAGAAGGGUCCUCGUCUCAACUUUCGGGAGCACAAACCUUUUCAACUAAGGGACGCACCGGUGCAACCAUGUGAAUGGCGUUCCGAUGAGUUCAUGAUCAAAGCAGGUUUCAAGGAUGAGUUUGAUGCACUUGUCCGCAAUGCCGGAUUAGAAGAAUUCCUCUCAGAUAAAUGUGAACAGUAUGCUAUGCUCACUGCCUCUUUCGUGCAUAGAUUUAAAUUUUUAGCUGCCCGUGAAUCAUCCAUACUGUUUGAUCUGUACGAUAAAUCCUAUUACCGUGGAUCUGGAGGAUUUCAAUAGGAUCUGCAAGAUACCUGAUGGGGGUAGUGUUAAUGAUCCUCCUAAGUCUUUGGUCAGAGACUUUGUCUCCAGUAUAACUGUUGGAGAAACCAGAGAUAUCACGCAAGCCACCAUAGGAAGCAUCCAUUUCCCUGCCUUGCACUACCUUGCCCUCUUCGUAGGUAGGUGCAUUAACGGCAAGGGUGCACAUUGUCACCUAUGCACUUCCGACCUUAGUAUCCUUAAGAGCGCAGUACCAGGUGAUAGGAGCUUCAAUAUGGGAGCUAUUAUAGCAAGGAGGCUGAAUAAAAAUGCCAGUGAGGGGGAUUUGUUUGGUGGAGUUUAUGCUACACGUUUAGCAAAUUUUCUUGGAGUCUCCAUCCGUCUAGAAGACCAUCCUCUCCGUACAGCCUACCUUAAUCGUGUCGCUCUAACACGCUACCAGUUCCUUGAGAGAGAUCAUGGAUCCCUCCUAUACCGCUUGAUAUUUAACCGGCAACGUGUUUUCCAUAUUACCCUUCCUGCUCCUGCUUUCUUUGACUUUCAGGUUAAACGAAGAUACUACAUAACCAUAGGGGAGGCUGAGGAGUAUGAGAGGGAGGCGACGGCUGCUCGACUUCGUGAGGCAGCUAUUCAGGCAGUAGCUAUAGCACUCCCGUAUAACACCCAUUAUGACUUUGGGUUUCGCCAGGAUCAUCCAUGGGAGUAGACCAAGCUAGGCCAAAAGCCUAAGCUUGGGGGAGUACGUGUUCUCACCGACUUUACAUUCAUGCUUAUGCUUUCACUUUGUUAGCCGGUGUUUACACUUUGCCACUGUAUUAUCCAUGCUAGUUUCUUUUUGUUUUCUUGUUUUGUGUCCUUUUGAGAAAACCCAAAAAAAGAUUUUUCUUUCUUCUUUUGCUUGUUGGGAGCUUUCCCGUGUAAAUAGUUUUCUUUUUCGUUGUGUCAAGGUAGAAGAUAUUGGUUACAAUGCUUAGUGGUUCUUACAUGCUUACCUGUUUAGCUUUCAAAGAACCAUAUUAUUUUGUCUUCUCCUUUGUGUUUGCGUGCAGAUUCAGCUUAGUCCAACGCACUCAUUAUCAUUUACAUCGUUCGAUCGUGCAAAUGAAAGGCAACAAUGAUGAUAUAUGAUGAAGUGACUGAGACUGAAAAGCUGGUAUGAACUCUAUCUGUUUUGUUUUUGUAAAUAUGACUAGCUUGUCAACCCAUAUUUAGCUUUGUUGUGAGAGAACCAUGUUUGCAAUGACAACUUAGAGAUCAUAGUUUCUGAUGCCAUGCUUAUUUAGCUGAGAGCUUAUAAUGGUUUGUCUUGAAUGCCAACAUAGAUUUUGAGAUGACUGUGAUGUAGUAUGAUAGGAUGGUAUUAUCCUUUGAAUGUUUCAAGUAAAUUUGCAUGUGCCACUCUCUAAACCUUCAAGAAAUAAUCUGUUUUGCAUGCCCGAACCGCUCAUGUGGUGACAGAGGGCUAUUGGUAUCUUCCAUGCUAGGAGUGUUAUCCUCGACAUGUGUUUAUUCACAGUCAUUCACGAGAAAGGGGCCGGUAUUUGGGAUGCCCAGUUCCAUGCUUAAAUUGAAAACAUAACUGUAAAACAAGACUCCCCCUGGAUUGAUGUUAGUAUGGACGGUACCCGAGGAUUCGGCUAGCCGUGGAUUGUGAUUGAUUGGUGGUGGGGGAGUUAAAACUUUAUUUUUCUGUUUGGGUACCGCCUAUAUAGCAUGAGUAGCAUGGAAGAUAUUGAGAAAUCUUGGUCAUUGCGUUGACAAUGAAAGCAUGCCACCCAAAAUUAUUAUCUCUGUUUUCAAAAGCUUGAGCUCUGGCACCUCUGCAAAUCAAUGAUUUCCUCUGCGAAGGGCCUGUCUAUUUAUUUUCCUGUCGAGUCAUCCUCCUCUUAUAUAAGCACCAAUUAGAGAGCACCUCUGUUAUUUUUAUGCUUUACUUUUGAUUGAUAUUGAGUAUGACUAUGACUGGAUCUUCGUUGCUAUGAAUUACAAUGUUUAGUCAGCCCUUGAUCUUUGAAAGUGUUUUGCAUUUAAGUUUUGCGGUCUCAGAAAGAGCUAGCGAGAUACCACCUAUUCAUAUUGCUUCAUGCUUGUUUUGAUUGAAGUGUUGGUAUUUGAAACUCAUUAUUAUUUGCUCAUUAGCUGAUUAUGCCAUUGAUAUUAGUUUACCGUGAGACCUUUGUGUCAUUUGCUUAUGUGGUUAACUUGUGAUCUUGCUGAAAUUCUGGUUAUGAGUUAGAGAUAGUUGCAACAACAAGAUCAAACAGAGUUUGUCAAAGUUUUUCUUUCUCUCUCAGUUUGUCAACUGAGUUGCUUGAGGACAAGCAAGGUUUUAAGCUUGGGGGAGUUGAUACGUGUCCAUCGUAUCUACGUUUACAAACUCUUUUGCCCUUGUUUUGGACUCUAAUUUGCAUGAUUUGGAUGAAACUAACCUGGACUGACGCUGUUUUCAGCAGAAUUGCCUUGGUGUUAUUUUUGUGCAGAAAUCGAAGUUCUCCAAACGUCCUGAAAAUUUACGGGGAGCAGUUUUGGAAAAUAUCAAAAAUAUUUGCGCCAAGUUCCACCUCAGGGGGUGGGCCAGUGGGCCACAAGCCCCUGCUCCACCACCACCCCCUGAUGGCGGUGGGCGGGCUUGUGGGGGCCCACACGCACCUGCCGCCCCAACUCCAGCUCUAUAAGUUGCCUUUUGUCCCAAAAAAAUAAAAAGAGAACUUUUCGUCGCGUUUUUGAUACGGAGGCGCCGCCACCUCCUGUUCGUCAUCUGGAGGGCAGAUCUGGAGUCCGUCUUGGGCUCCGGAGAGGGGAAAUCGUCGCCAUCGUCAUCAUCAACCUUCUUCCCUCUCCAAUUCCAUGAAGCUCUUCGUCGUUCGUGAGUAAUAUAUUCGUAGGCUCGCUGGGCGGUGAUGAGUAGGAUGAGAUCUAUCAUGUAAUCGAGUUAGUUUUGAUGGGGAUUGAUCCCUAGUAUCCACUAUGUUCUGAGAUUGAUGUUUCUACUACUUUGCCAUGCUUAAUGCUUGUCACUAGGGCCUGAGUGCCAUGAUUUCAGAUCUGAAAUUAUUAUGUUGUCACCAAUAUAUGUGUGUUUUAGAUCCAAUCUUGCAAGUUGUAGUUACCUACUAUGUGUUAUGAUCCGGCAACCCCGGAGUGACAAUAACCGGAACCACUCCCGGUGAUGACCAUAGUUUGAGGAGUUCAUGUGUUCACCAAGUGCUAAUGCGUUGGUCUGGUUCUUUAUUAAAAGGAGAACCUUAAUAUCCCGUAGUUUCCUUUUGGACCCCGCUGCCACGGGAGGGAUGGACAAUAGAUGUCAUGCAAGUUCUUUUCCCUAAGCACAUAUGACGACACACGGAAUGCAUGCCUACAUCACAUUGACGAACGGGAGCUAGCCACAUAUCUCUCCGUGUUAUAGCUGUUGCAUGAUGAAUAUCAUCCAAACAAAUCACCGACCCAUUGCCUAUGAGUUUGUCCUAUUGCUGUUGCUACUACUGUUGCUACUGAUGUUACUUGUCUUGCUCUGCUGCUGCUGCUCCUACUGUUGCUACUGCUGUUACUUGUCUUGCUCUGCUGCUACUACCGUUGCUACUACUGUCGCUUGCUACUGUUGCUACUUGCUACUGCUGCCACUACUGCUGUUCCUUGCCAUUACUAUUGCUCGUUACACUGCUGCUACUGUUGGAAUUAUGCCCUAGAGGCAAUAAUAAAUAUAGUUAUUAUUUUAAUUCCUGUAUCAAGAUAAUCGUUUAUUAUCCAUGCUAUAAUUGUAUUGGAUGAAGACUCAUUUACAUGUGUGGAUACAUAGACAAAACACUGUCCCUAGCAAGCCUCUAGUUGGCUAGCCAGUUGAUCAAAGAUAGUCAGUGUCUUCUGAUUAUGAACAAGGUGUUGUUGCUUGAUAACUGGAUCACGUCAUUAGGAGAAUCACGUGAUGGACUAGACCCAAACUAAUAGACGUAGCAUGUUGAUCGUGUCAUUUUGUUGCUACUGUUUUCUGCGUGUCAAGUAUUUGUUCCUAUGACCAUGAGAUCAUAUAACUCACUAACACCGGAGGAAUACUUUGUGUGUGUCAAACAUCGCAACGUAACUGCGUGACUAUAAAGAUGCUAUACAGGUAUCUCCGAAGGUGUUCGUUGAGUUAGUAUGGAUCGAGACUGGGAUUUGUCACUCUGUGUGACGGAGAGGUAUCUCGGGGCCCACUCGGUAAUACAACAUCACACACAAGCCUUGCAAGCAAUGUGACUUAGUGUAAGUUGCGGGAUCUUGUAUUACGGAACGAGUAAAGAGACUUGCCGGUAAACGAGAUUGAAAUAGGUAUACGGAUACUGACGAUCGAAUCUCGGGCAAGUAACAUACCGAAGGACAAAGGGAAUGACAUACGGGAUUAUAUGAAUCCUUGGCACUGAGGUUCAAGCGAUAAGAUCUUCGUAGAAUAUGUAGGAUCCAAUAUGGGCAUCCAGGUCCCGCUAUUGGAUAUUGACCGAGGAGUCUCUCGGGUCAUGUCUACACAGUUCUCGAACCCGCAGGGUCUGCACACUUAAGGUUCGACGUUGUUUUAUGCGUAUUUGAGUUAUAUGGUUGGUUACCGAAUGUUGUUCGGAGUCCCGGAUGAGAUCACGGACGUCACGAGGGUUUCCGGAAUGGUCCGGAAACGAAGAUUGAUAUAUAGGAUGACCUCAUUUGNNNNNNNNNNNNNNNNNNNNNNNNNNNNNNNNNNNNNNNNNNNNNNNNNNNNNNNNNNNNNNNNNNNNNNNNNNNNNNNNNNNNNNNNNNNNNNNNNNNNNNNNNNNNNNNNNNNNNNNNNNNNNNNNNNNNNNNNNNNNNNNNNNNNNNNNNNNNNNNNNNNNNNNNNNNNNNNNNNNNNNNNNNNNNNNNNNNNNNNNNNNNNNNNNNNNNNNNNNNNNNNNNNNNNNNNNNNNNNNNNNNNNNNNNNNNNNNNNNNNNNNNNNNNNNNNNNNNNNNNNNNNNNNNNNNNNNNNNNNNNNNNNNNNNNNNNNNNNNNNNNNNNNNNNNNNNNNNNNNNNNNNNNNNNNNNNNNNNNNNNNNNNNNNNNNNNNNNNNNNNNNNNNNNNNNNNNNNNNNNNNNNNNNNNNNNNNNNNNNNNNNNNNNNNNNNNNNNNNNNNNNNNNNNNNNNNNNNNNNNNNNNNNNNNNNNNNNNNNNNNNNNNNNNNNNNNNNNNNNCCUCUAGAUCGCGUUUCUGCGGAGCUCGGGCGGAGCCCUGCUGAGACAAGGUCAUCACCAACCUCCGGAGCGCCGUCACGCUGCCGGAGAACUCUUCUACCUCUCCGUAUCUCUUGCUGGAUCAAGAAGGCCGAGAUCAUCGUCGAGCUGUACGUGUGCUGAACGCGGAGGUGCCGUCCGUUCGGCACUAGAUCGUGGGACUGAUCGCGGGACGGUUCGCGGGGCGGAUCGAGGGAUGUGAGGACAUUCCACUACAUCAACCGCGUUCACUAACGCUUCUGCUGUACGGUCUACAAGGGUACGUAGAUCACACAUCCCCUCUCGUAGAUGGACAUCACCAUGAUAGGUCUUCGUGCGCGUAGGAAAUUUUUUGUUUCCCAUGCGACGUUCCCCAACAGUGGCAUCAUGAGCCAGGUUCAUGUGUAGAUGUCUUCUCGAGUAGAACACAAAAGUUUUUGUGGGCGGUGAUGUGCGUUUUGCUGCCCUCCUUAGUCUUUUCUUGAUUCCGCGGUAUAGUUGGAUCGAAGCGGCUCGGACCGACAUUACUCGUACGCUUACUUGACGAGCACUCGGGUUAAGCUUGACGAGCCUAGCAUGUGCAGACAUGGCCACAGAACACAUGAGACCGAAAGGUCGAUCAUGAAUCAUAUAGAUGAUAUGAUUAGCAUAGGGAUGCUUACCACUGAAACUAUACUCAACUCACGUGAUGAUCGGACUUGAGCUAGUGUAAGUGGAUCAUGAACCACUCAAAUGACUAGAGAGAUGUACUUUUUGAGUGGGAGUUUAGCCAGUAAUUUGAUUAAGUUAAACUCUAAUUAUCUUGAACAUAGUCUAAGUCCACUUUGAAUAUAUUUGUGUUGUAGAUCAUGGCUCACGCGACAGUCACCCUGAAUUUUAAUACGUUCCUAGAGAAAGCUAAGUUGAAAGAUGAUGGAAGCAACUUUGUAGACUGGGCUCGUAAUCUUAAGCUAAUCUUACAAGCUCGGAAGAAGGAUUAUGUCCUUAAUGCUGCGCUAGGAGAUGAACCACCCGCUACGGCUGAUCAGGAUGUUAAGAACGCUUGGUUAGCACGUAAGGAGGACUACUCAGUAGUUCAAUGUGCAGUCUUGUAUGGCUUAGAACCGGGACUUCAACGUCGCUUUGAGCGUCAUGGAGCAUUUGAGAUGUUCCAGGAGUUGAAGUUUAUCUUUCAGAAGAACGCCCGGAUCGAGAGGUAUGAGACCUCCGAUAAAUUCUAUGCUUGCAAGAUGGAGGAGAACUCGUCUGUCAGUGAACAUGUGCUCAAAAUGUGUGGGUACUCAAACCGUCUAGCUGAGGUAGGGAUUGAACUCCCGCAAGAGGCUAUCACUGACAGAAUCCUUCAAUCACUGCCGCCAAGCUAUAAAGGCUUUGUGUUGAACUACAACAUGCAAGGGAUGAACAAGUCUCCCGGCGAGUUGUUUGCGAUGCUGAAAGUCGCAGAGUCUGAACUUCGUAAAGAGCAUCAAGUGUUGAUGGUGAAUAAGACCACUAGUUUCAACAGAAACGACAAAGGCAAGAAGGGUAAUUCAAAGAAGAGCGGCAAGCCUGUUGCCAAUCCGACGAAGAAACCCAAAGCUGGACCUAAGCCUGAAACAGAGUGUUACUAUUGCAAGGGUAUGGGUCACUGGAAGCGCAAUUGCCCCAAGUAUCUGGCUGAUAAGAAGGUGGCCAAAGAAAAAUCAGGUAUAUUUGAUAUACAUGUUAUUGAUGUGUACUUAACCGGCUCUCGUAGUAGUGCCUGGGUAUUCGAUACCGGUUCUGUUGCUCAUAUUUGCAACUCGAAACAGGAACUGCGGAAUAAACGAAGGCUGGCGAAAGAUGAAGUGACGAUGCGCGUAGGAAAUGGUUCCAAGGUUGAUGCAAUCGCCGUCGGCACAAUUUCUCUUCAGUUACCAUCAGGAUUAGUUAUGAACUUGAAUCAUUGUUAUUUAGUGCCUGCGUUGAGCAUGAACAUUAUAUCUGGAUCUUGUUUAUUGCGAGACGGUUACUCUUUUAAGUUAGAGAAUAAUGGUUGUUCUAUUUCUAUGAGUAAUAUCUUUUAUGGUCAUGCACCCAAUGUGAGAGGAUUGUUCAUAUUGAAUCUUGAUAGUGAUACACACAUACAUAACAUUGAGACCAAAAGAGUUAGAGUUAACAAUGAUAGCGCCAUAUUUUUGUGGCACUGCCGCUUAGGUCAUAUUGGUGUAAAGCGCAUGCAGAAACUCCAUGCCGAUGGACUUUUGGAGUCACUUGACUUUGAUUCACUUGACACGUGCGAACCAUGCCUCAUGGGCAAGAUGACUAAAACUCCGUUCUCCGGAACAAUGGAGCGUGCAAGUGACUUGUUGGAAAUCAUACAUACCGAUGUGUGUGGUCCGAUGAGCGUAGAGGCACGUGGCGGAUAUCGUUAUUUUCUCACCUUCACUGAUGAUUUGAGUAGAUAUGGUUAUGACUACUUAAUGAAGCACAAGUCUGAAACAUUUGAAAAGUUCAAGCAAUUUGAGAGUGAAGUUGAAAAUCAUCGUAACAAGAAGAUCAAGUUCCUACGGUCUGAUCGUGGGGGUGAAUAUCUGAGUUUCGAGUUUGGUGCUCACUUAAGACAAUGUGGAAUUGUUUCACAGUUGACACCGCCUGGAACUCCACAUCGUAAUGGUGUGUCCGGACGUCGUAAUCGUACUUUAUUAGAGAUGGUGCGAUCUAUGAUGUCUCUUACCGAUUUGCCGUUAUCGUUUUGGGGUUAUGCAUUAGAAACAGCUGCAUUCACUUUAAAUAGGGCACCAUCAAAAUCCGUUGAGACGACACCAUACGAACUGUGGUAUGGCAAAAGGCCAAAGUUUUCGUUUCUUAAAGUUUGGGGAUGUGAUGCUUAUGUCAAAAAGCUUCAUCCUGAAAAGCUGGAACCCAAAGCGGAAAAGUGCAUCUUCAUAGGUUAUGCAAAAGAGACAGUUGGGUACACCUUCUAUCUCAAAUCCGAGGGCAAAGUGUUUGUUGCUAAAAACGGAGCUUUUCUCGGGAAGGAGUUUCUCUUGAGAGAACUGAGUGGGAGGAAGAUAGAACUUGACGAGGUUGUCGAACCUCUCAUCCCUCUGGAUGGUGGCGCAGGGCAAGGGGAAACCUCUGUCGUUGCGACGCCGGUUGAGGAGGAAGUUAAUGAUGAUGAUCACGAAACUCCGGUUCAAGUUUCUGUCGAACCACGCAGGUCGACGAGACCACGUGCUGCUCUAGAGUGGUACGGUAAUCCCGUUUUAUCAAUCAUGUUGUUGGACAACAAUGAACCUACAAAUUAUGAAGAAGCAAUGGUGGGCCCAGAUUCCAACAAAUGGCUAGAAGCCAUGAAGUCCGAGAUAGGAUCCAUGUAUGAGAACAAAGUGUGGACUUUGGAAGUACUGCCUGAGGGCCACAAGGCUAUUCAGAACAAAUGGAUCUUUAAGAGGAUGACGGACGCUGACGGCAAUGUGACCGUUUAUAAAGCUCGACUUGUGGCAAAGGGUUUUUCACAAGUUCAAGGAGUUGACUACGAUGAGACAUUCUCACCCGUAGCGAUGCUUAAGUCCGUCAGAAUCAUGUUAGCAAUAGCUGCAUUUUUCGAUUAUGAAAUCUGGCAGAUGGAUGUCAAAACGGCGUUCCUUAACGGUUUCCUUAAGGAAGAGUUGUAUAUGAUGCAACCCGAAGGUUUUUUCGAUCCUAAGAAUGCUAACAAGGUGUCCAAGCUCCAGCGAUCCAUUUAUGGACUGGUGCAAGCAUCUCGGAGUUGGAACAAACGCUUUGAUGAGGUGAUCAAAGCAUUUGGGUUUAUACAAGUGGUUGGAGAAUCUUGUAUUUACAAGAAAGCGAGUGGGAGCUCUGUGGCGUUUCUAAUAUUAUAUGUGGAUGACAUAUUGCUGAUUGGAAACAACGUGGAUUUUUUGGAGAGCAUAAAGGAUUACUUGAAUAAAAGUUUCUCUAUGAAGGACCUAGGAGAAGCUGCUUACAUUCUAGGCAUUAAGAUCUCCAGGGAUAGAUCAAAACGCCUGAUAGGACUUUCACAAAGCACAUACCUUGAUAAAGUUUUGAAGAGGUUCAAAAUGGAACAGUCCAAGAAAGGGUUCUUGCCAGUUUUACAAGGUACGAGAUUGAGUAAGACUCAGUGCCCAGCAACUGAUGAGGAUAGAGAGCAUAUGCACACCGCCCCCUAUGCUUCAGCCAUAGGUUCUAUCAUGUAUGCAAUGCUGUGCACUAGACUAGACGUUAGCCUGGCCAUAAGUAUGGCAGGUAGGUUCCAGAGUAAUCCAGGAGUGGAUCACUGGACGACGGUCAAGAAUAUCCUGAAGUACCUGAAAAGGACUAAGGAGAUGUUUCUCGUGUAUGGAGGUGACGAAGAGCUCGCCGUAAAAGAUUACGUCGAUGCAAGCUUUGACACAGAUCCGGACGACUCUAAGUCGCAAACCGGAUACAUAUUUAUUCUUAAUGGGGGUGCGAUAAGCUGGUGCAGUUCCAAGCAAAGCGUCGUAGCAGAUUCUACAUGUNNNNNNNNNNNNNNNNNNNNNNNNNNNNNNNNNNNNNNNNNNNNNNNNNNNNNNNNNNNNNNNNNNNNNNNNNNNNNNNNNNNNNNNNNNNNNNNNNNNNNNNNNNNNNNNNNNNNNNNNNNNNNNNNNNNNNNNNNNNNNNNNNNNNNNNNNNNNNNNNNNNNNNNNNNNNNNNNNNNNNNNNNNNNNNNNNNNNNNNNNNNNNNNNNNNNNNNNNNNNNNNNNNNNNNNNNNNNNNNNNNNNNNNNNNNNNNNNNNNNNNNNNNNNNNNNNNNNNNNNNNNNNNNNNNNNNNNNNNNNNNNNNNNNNNNNNNNNNNNNNNNNNNNNNNNNNNNNNNNNNNNNNNNNNNNNNNNNNNNNNNNNNNNNNNNNNNNNNNNNNNNNNNNNNNNNNNNNNNNNNNNNNNNNNNNNNNNNNNNNNNNNNNNNNNNNNNNNNNNNNNNNNNNNNNNNNNNNNNNNNNNNNNNNNNNNNNNNNNNNNNNNNNNNNNNNNNNNNNNNNNNNNNNNNNNNNNNNNNNNNNNNNNNNNNNNNNNNNNNNNNNNNNNNNNNNNNNNNNNNNNNNNNNNNNNNNNNNNNNNNNNNNNNNNNNNNNNNNNNNNNNNNNNNNNNNNNNNNNNNNNNNNNNNNNNNNNNNNNNNNNNNNNNNNNNNNNNNNNNNNNNNNNNNNNNNNNNNNNNNNNNNNNNNNNNNNNNNNNNNNNNNNNNNNNNNNNNNNNNNNNNNNNNNNNNNNNNNNNNNNNNNNNNNNNNNNNNNNNNNNNNNNNNNNNNNNNNNNNNNNNNNNNNNNNNNNNNNNNNNNNNNNNNNNNNNNNNNNNNNNNNNNNNNNNNNNNNNNNNNNNNNNNNNNNNNNNNNNNNNNNNNNNNNNNNNNNNNNNNNNNNNNNNNNNGGGAUUAUAUGAAUCCUUGGCACUGAGGUUCAAGCGAUAAGAUCUUCGUAGAAUAUGUAGGAUCCAAUAUGGGCAUCCAGGUCCCGCUAUUGGAUAUUGACCGAGGAGUCUCUCGGGUCAUGUCUACAUAGUUCUCGAACCCGCAGGGUCUGCACACUUAAGGUUCGACGUUGUUUUAUGCGUAUUUGAGUUAUAUGGUUGGUUACCGAAUGUUGUUCGGAGUCCCGGAUGAGACCACAGACGUAACGAGAGUUUCCGGAAUGGUCCAGAAACGAAGAUUGAUAUAUAGGAUGACCUCAUUUGAUUACCGGAAGGUUUUCGGAGUUACCGGGAAUGUACCGGGAAUGACGAAUGGGUUCCGGGAGUUCACCGGGGGGGGGGGCAACCCCCCCCGGGGAAGCCCAUAGGAAUGACGAAUGGGUUCCGGGAGUUCACCGGGGGGGAACCCACCCCGGGGAAGCCCAUAGGCAUUGGGGGUGGCGCACCAGCCCUUAGUGGGCUGGUGGGACAGCCCAAAAGAGCCCUAUGCGCCAUAGGAAGAAAAAUCAAAGAGAAAAAAAAGAGGAGGUGGGAAAAGGGGGAAGGACUCCUCCUUCCAAACCUAGUUGGACUCGGUUUGGAAGGGGAGGGCCGCCCCCCUUGGCUCGGCCGAAGCCCUUAGGGGUCCUUGGACCCCAAGGCAAGGCUCCCCCUCUUCCCCCUAUAUACGGAGGUUUUAGGGCUGAUUUACACAACUUUGCCACGGCAGCCCGACCACAUAUCUCCACAGUUUUACCUCUAGAUCGCGUUUCUGCGGAGCUCGGGCGGAGCCCUGCUGAGACGAGAUCAUCACCAACCUCUAGAGCGCCGUCACGCUGCCGGAGAACUCUUCUACCUCUCCGUAUCUCUUGCUGGAUCAAGAAGGCCGAGAUCAUCGUCGAGCUGUACGUGUGCUGAACGCGGAGGUGCCGUCCGUUCGGCACUAGAUCGUGGGACUGAUCGCGGGACGGUUCGCGGGGCGGAUCGAGGGAUGUGAGGACAUUCCACUACAUCAACCGCGUUCACUAACACUUCUGCUGUACGGUCUACAAGGGUACGUAGAUCACACAUCCCCUCUCGUAGAUGGACAUCACCAUGAUAGGUCUUCGUGCGCGUAGGAAUUUUUUUGUUUCCCAUGCGAUGUUCCCCAACAGCUACCUGCUACACAGUUGGUUCACCUACCGUUGACGGGAAUUGACAACUUCCGUCGACGCGGCAACGAAGGCGCCAUUGAUACAAUUGUUAGGAAUAGUCUGCCGUCAACAGAUCAUUUCUGACACUGUUGUUAUCAUAUUACUUUGCUGUUACUACUGUGCUUGCAGAUACAAAUCUUUUAGGUGUGGUUGAAUCUGACAAAUUCAGUUGCUAAUACUCGAGAGUAUACUCUCACCUCCUGACUGGCUUAUCAACAAAUUGGGUCAAAUACUCUACCCUCGAAAACUGCUGCGAACCCACGCGCUGGUGGGCCAUCAACAACAUUCUUCUAGUCUCAUUACUAGGGAGUGCUUUCAGCAUUCUUCUGGUGCCGCUGCAGGGGAAGGUUUGUUGUCAUAAGCAUUCGUCUAGCUAACGUCAGAGAUUGUAGGAUCAACACUUUUCUGGUGCCAUUGCCAGGGAAGCACAGCUGACGUCAGCGUCCCGUCACUAUCACCGGUUCUCUGCCUUGUCCACAAUGACACAUGCGGUCCACGGGCGCAUGCGGUUGUACUCGUCUAGGUGAAUCGAGAGAUGAGAAAGGAAAUACCGAGAAAAAUUCCAAGCUGAGGUGUAUGUCGAAAACCGCUAAAUGCAAGUUUAAUAUGAGAAACUCAUGUAAUUUUUUCAAGCCGGAAAACAAUGACCCAAAUAUCAGCGGGUUUCCUUUACAUGGGAGGUAUAUAUUUUAGUCUGUCUAGGGCAUAUCAAAUGUACCCUAAUUAUUGCACAUCUAAGUGACUCAAUCAUGCACAAAAAGAAAAAGAAAACGGAAAUGAUAAAUCCUAAAUGUUCAAAUUUGAAGCAUGGAAACCCAAACGCUUUUCAUGGCAACUUUAGUUCACGCGAUGUGUGCAAAAAUGGCAUUGUUCUGACCAAAAAACAAACUGAGACAAAGUUGCCACCCUGCAUCAACUAAAGUUGCCAUGAAAAAACAUUUGGGAUGAGUGGAUGACAUAUUUGAAAUCCGAAUGUUUGGUGUUUAUUGGGGCCCAAAGAAAAUACCCACAUAAAUCUCCAUGUAAUAUUAAUGACAUAGGAUUUAGAUAUACAAUACUUAUGUCGUAUCUAGACAUGCUCUAGCAAAACUGUAUUUUACGAAGGGAUUCAGCUCGAAAACAAAGUUUCAGUCAAGACCUCAGCAUCCAAGUUGCAGCUGACGCUUGCCCUUGCACCUGAGUUUGAGUGCUUGGGCCAGGAUAACCAUGUGCCUGGGUGGAAUAAAGCCACGCAAGCCAUCGACUCUCCAGGACGCAUACCAAACAUCCACACCUUAUGACUAUGAAUCAAACCAAACAACCUCAAGAAUCAUUAUUGUUUAACAAGUUUUCACGAUGCCACUCAUUUCGAAGUCUUGGUGCUUGAGUGUACCAUAUUUGCAUCAACAAAUCAUUUUAUCUUCACACGAGUUGUACCAAACAAAAGAGGCUAAAAUGUGUUGAACAUGUGUUUGGUUAGGACGACAAACAUUGUUAAUCACAGGUCACAAGAAUAUUCCCGUCCCUGUGUGAACUAACUUCUAGGAAGGGAACUGCAAAGAUGAUACUCUAUGCUACUUGUGCCCCAGUUGCUUGAGGUAAUAAGCUUGCACAUGGUGAAGUUAUUUUCAAGUCCCUCCCCCUACAACUUUCAUGUAUCUACGUACCGUCGCAAAUAUGAAUGGUGGUGAGUGAAUGAUAGAAGGUAUCAAUCUAUUACUAGUGGAAUCUAUCAUUUGACAAUGGCUGGCAAAGAGGUCGUGCUCAAGGUCAGGGCCUCACAUAUUUCACACUUGAGUGAAAAUAUCUUCUGCAUCACGGGCUAGCUUAAAGCCGAUGUGACCAAAUAUCAAUAUUUUCUCAUGGACACUUUUUAUACAAUGGAAGAAUCACUAGGAUGAAACAUUCAAUGCACACACCUAAUUUUGGUAGGUGUGUACAAACAAAUAGCAACCAUGCUACACAAUGAUAUGGUAACCUGGAAACAACCACUUUAAUUUAAACCACCGACAAGAAGCAACACAUAAUUUUCUUUGUGUUGCUACUACAUAUUAGAUGGAGUGUGUGUGCACGUGUUUAUAAGAAAAGAUUUUCUAGGCCACCCAUGAGCCAUGACAUUCAAGCCAAAUCCUUGAUAUACCAAGGAUUAUUGUUCUCUAUGAUGAUGAACAUCAAUUAAGAGUCUGAUGUAAUCUAUUAUACUAAAUCAUGUGGAAUAUUGAGGCAUUUGUUUGGGAGAAUACUUAUUAAACUUGCCUCGGCCUUUAAUUUGUCUGCUUUUUCGUCAUUAUGCAUGCGUAUUUGUUUUGCUUGACUAGUGAUGGUAGGUAGAAAUAGUUGAUAUUGUUGUGUUUGUUCUUUUUGGUGAUUAAAACAUAUGACAAGUGUGAUGUAACCCAUUGUAUUCUGUUAAACCAUGUGGAUAAUCAAGGCAUUUGUAUGAGAGAACAUGCUCAGUCUUUAACUUUGUGACUCAAUUUUAGGAUUAACUGCAUUGUUGGCCCAAUGAGGAAAACAAUUGUUGUAUGAUCCACCUGAUGACAGAAUCUUCCUUCAUAUUCGAAGUUCAAAACAACUUCAUAUUUGCUCUCUUCUGGAGAAAGAUUCAUCUCACUCUUACAUUCUUAUAUGCUUUCUGUUUGUUCAUCUAACCCACUAAUCAUCACGGGAUGAGGCCGAUCAAAUCUGAACACUUAAUACUCAUGUUUGCAACAAUUAAACUAUAUUGUUGUCUUCUCCUACUUUGUACUCUUUACGUUUUAAAAUAUAUUGCACAUCCUUUUGCAAUUAUAUGUGGUGGAAAAAUAAGACAAUGAGGAGGAUCAAGAGGAAGCUCCAAAAGAUGAGGCAUGAGUCAAAGUACAUGAGCAACAAGGAGAGGAAGCUUCAUCUUUCAUCAUUUUAUGGGUCCAUCUCGGCUCAUAUGUCCCGGUGGUUCUUAUUGUGGGAGAUGUGAAACUUUGUAAUAUGAUGAUGAUUUGAUGACCAUAUUUUAUUUUAUUUUAUUUCUGAGUGUUAAUCACUCAUCAGAUAUUUGUAACACAAAAAUAUAAUUUCCUGCUUUCCUCUAACCAUCUGAGCAAAUUGUUUGGCUCAUCAACAUGUUAUUUUGUGACGUGGUACUUUCUUCAAUCUUUUGGUUCAAACCAUGCCAAGAAAUAAACAUGUUUCUAUUUCUAUGGCAUGUUUGCCUGCGCAUCGUGGUUAGCUAUUGAAUGGAAGGAUUGCUAAUCUGUUCUCUCACUGAGAGGUUAUUGUUUUUCUUUCUCUUGUACAUUCGUGAAAAGGAGUAGGAUGUUAUGCCACCCACUUGGAGUUUACCCUUGCAUGCAGUUUGAUCAAGGAUUUCCCAUUCAUAAUAAAUACUGAAUUUAGAGAAGUCACCCAGAUGUCGACCAUAAGAAAAUAAUAUAUUUUAUAUCUGAAAUGUGCCACUUGGGCGGAAAGAAAAAAACUCAUCUCUCAAAUUUUUAGAGUAAUUCCACAUGAGGUUGGUGGUGAAACAUCAUUUGUACUUUCUCCAAAGGAAGAAAAUUGCUAAUACCCAAUAACACAUACCUAAUCAUCUUGCGUGUAACAUCCCAAAAUUUUAAAUUUUGGAAUAUUAUAUUAAAUAAGUGAUUAUAAUUGCUUGAGUGAUUGUUGUUUGAAAUUGAGUGGAAUUUGAAACUUUUGAAAACUUAAUGGGGGUGGGAAUAAAAGGACUUUCCCAUUUUUUUCCUUGAUGACAAUUUGAAUUUCAGUUGAAAAUAAUUCAAAUCAAAAACUUUAUGCCACUCAAGGAUUUUCAUGAGAGAAGAUAAUAGAACUUCUUCAAAGUAUGAAAUAGAGUCUGAAGUUAUGAAAAAAUGUUUUUGAAUUCACUUUUGGAAAGUUUUCAUUUUGAGUUUCAUAUUCCUUUCCAUUUACUCAAAUAAAAUUAAGAGAAAAGGAAAUAUGACUCCUUCAAAUAUUAGAAAGAAAAUGUGGAAAAUGAAAUAUCAAACCAACAUAAAGUUAUUUGAAAUCCAAUUAAAACUUAUUUUUGGAAUCUUCAAAAAUAUAUAUUUUCAAACAGUAUUUUUUUCUGGCCUUUAAAAUAUGUUCACAUUUUAAGAUGAAAAAUUCAAUAUAUAACAUGUCUAUAUAAGACUUUUUUAUUCUUCUUUUCUAUUUCCUUUCUUUAUGUUUUUAAUAUAAAAAGAGAAAAUGGCUGCAGCCCACCAACGCAUGAGAAGAAGGCCCAGCGCACCCCGGGCCAUCUUCCACCUCAGAUUCACGUACAUGUACACAAAAACAAGAACUACAUGGCUUGCCCUUUUCCUUCCCUCCUUCCAUUGAUUUCUUUCCCGGAAUCACUUCGGUGUCUACACAAAAAUUGUGGAGAAUAUUAUGACGAAUACAUUCAGGGAACUAAAUCUCGUUUUAAUGCGGUGAUUAUCCAGAAAUACCUUCACCGACACCAUUAAUGGCCUCCAGAAAUCUCGCCUCGGAUCUCCUUGAACUGACCUCCCCUCCUCCUAUAAAAGGGACCCCAAGAAGCAUCUCGAUCCACUUAAUAUCCACAUCAAAAAGAACCUUUCUAAUCGUCCUACUCCACAAGGAAUUGCUCAUCGGAAUUCAUCAACUCCGACGACUUCUCAACACCCGCUCGAGGCUCGGUUGACCCUUCCUCGAUAGGCCUCCCCGGAAGUAGCUGCGACACCCUCCUCUCCGUCACCUCUAGAAAUCUCGUAUUUUUUUUAAAAGAGAGCAAUUUUAGAAAACUCAUAACUAUUAGCCUACUUAUCCAAAUUGAGUGAUUCCAAUUGCUAUGGUUUCACAAAAAUAUGUAGUUUCUGUUAGAUCCAAAAAAUUCAUGUUUAAACAUUUAAAAAUUGAAUUUGGAUAGAAUUGCUUUAAACUCUAGAUUGUGAAUAUCUUUUCAUAGAAAAUAGGUUUUUAUUUGAUUCUUUUUGCAAUUUGUCAGUAGGUCUAUUGCCAAUCAAGUAGGGUUUCAAAAAUUAUUUUUGGAUUAAUUUAAAAUUGAUUUUCAGCAAAAACAGUACUGUUUCAACUGUAGAUUUGUUUUAUUCUUAACUAUUUGUUUUUAAUUCUUAUUAAGUAUUUAUUUUUUGUCACUUUUGACAAAUUAUAAUAUUUUUUCUGUUAGAAAUUAGUAUACAAUUUUAUUUAUUAAUUAAAAUUAUUUUACUACCAUUUUGUAUUAAAAAUUGUAUAGAUCAUAACUAGAGUUGUAUAAUAGCAAUUAGAUAGAUUCUUUUUACAAUUAAAACUUUGAGAAGAAUACUUUCUGUUAAGUUAUUAGUUUAACAUUUUUAUUUUAUGCUAAUUUAUUAGUUUAGUGUUUUAACUAGUGGUUAAGUUUUAUUUAGGGAAAAACUAUUUUUUGUUGUAUGUUGUGAAUCUUUAUAGUUUUCCUGUGAAGUUUUCUUUGGAUUUUAUUAGGUUUUAUUUUGUUUUCAACUUUAUUUUUUAUUUAUUUUAUUUAUUGAUUGUUAGUUUGAGUUCUAGAAUGCUUGCUAGAUGUGAUUUCUUAUGUAAAUGCAAUAUUUGAUUAUAUAGAUUUAUCUCGGAGAGUGACGAAUAGUACUAUGAGUAAAUUUCUGAGAGCGGUAUAAUCUUCACCAACUACACGAGGCAAGUUUAGAUUGAUCAUCUCUUUAAAAUUCCUAUCUUUUAUUAGUGCCACCUUCCAUCUUGCAUCAAGUAGGUAAACUGAAAUUGCAGUCCUUGAGUAGUAUCAUGAGGUAGGAACCCCAAUACCCUUGUUACCAAGCCCCGCGAAUCAACGAAUUGUUGUUAUUGCUAAUUCUUAGUAGACAGGGAGUGGUAAAAAUGAUUCAUGAAAGUUGUGAGAGUCAAGAUGAUCUAAACCAACCUCAAGACUUCAAGACUUCAACAAUUUCAAUACACUUCUAGAUGGACUAAUUGCAAGGAGAGGGCAUAUGGGAUCCUGGAGGUGUACGAGUGAUCACCCAGUUCUACGACCUUGCGAGGGGAUCAUGUUGAUGCACCAGUGAUCACCAGUUCUACAACCUUGCCAGGGGAUCCUAGAGAUGUACCAGUGAUCACCCAGUUCUAUGACCUUGCGAGGGGAUCCUAGAGAUGUACCAGUGAUCACCAGUUCUAUGACCUUGCCAGGGAUCCUGGAGAUUUACCAGUGAACACCCAGUUCUAUGACCUUACCAGGGGAUCUUGGAGAUUUACGAGUGAACACCCAGUUCUUUGACUGUGCUAGGGGAUCCUGGAGAUGUACCAGUGAUCACCCAGUUCUAUGACCUUGCUAGGGGAUCCUCGAGAUGUACCGGUGAUCACCCAGUUCUAUGAUCGCGCCAUGGGAUCCUGGAGAUGUACCGAUGAUCACCUAGUUCUAUGACCUUUCUAGGGGAUAAUGGAGAUGUACCAGUGAUCUCCCAGUUUUUUAAUGGCCACCCAGGCUCAAAGAGAUUGACAGAUUUUUCAAGACCAGAAGCUUUCAUGUGCAGUCGCAAUCUAUUAUGGUCUCUAGCAUAGUUGAGUACUUUGAAAAGACUGUGUCUCGAUCAUCCUAUUCUCAAAUACCACGCAGUGCAAGGACUUCAAAGGAGGCGAUCAAGUCUUGGGGGGAAAGUGUGCAAACCUCUGCACAGUGUUAAACUAAUCGAUUAGUCGUGUCCCCUGUUACAAAUAGUUUGAGCGACUCUAAUUGGAUUAUCUGGAUAUUCUCAACAUAUGAUACAUUAAAUUAACUUGGGAUUUAUUACAACUAUGGGAUAUGAGAAUUUGGUUGGCGGAACCAUCUCAUUAAUGACAUCAACUUUGUAGUAUGUUUUGAUUAUUUUUAGUUAGGGAAAAAUCAGCUUUUAUGCAAAAAUUCACACAUAGAGCCUCGACUACCAUAUUGCAUAUAGUGUUAGACUUAUUUUCAUAUACCUUCAUAUGUGAUCUUGCGAGUACAUUCGAUGUAUUGACCUACACGGCUGCAACUUAUCGUGUUGCAGGAUUUCUACGACGAGUAAGAGUUACGUUGCAGGGUUAUGGUCUACACUCAAUUUGCCGUUGGCGUUGAUGGGACUCCACACCCUUAUUGAUUUGUUUCCGCUGUGAUAAAUAAGGUAUACUCUUGAUCUAUGGUAUUUAUUUUACAUGUGAUUUUUUGGUAUUUCAUCGAAGUACUGUGUGUGCCCACAUACUAAUCCAGGGGUGGCACACAAUGCAUAGAGACUUGACCGUAUUGUGUCGGGUCGCUACAAAGAUGAUAUCACAACACAUGUUGACUGUAGGAUGUGACCCUACAAACUGGAAAGCCUUAGGUAAGGAUAUCUCUAAAACUUUAUUUUCAAAAAGAUCCUUUGCUUCUCAUCUUUUUCUGAUUUGAUCAAAUAGCCCCUCUUACCUCAAAUUGUUAUAAUACACCCCUCUCCCUUUUGACCACACGACGAAUCAACUAAGGACCACCUCAGAGUAAAAAGAUCGAAGCUACAACAACUGAAGACUCCGAAUACCCUAAAGAAUCCCAAUAUCUAUAUGACCUUUAUAAAGGCGUCUUCUUUGAACCUACCACAGAGCUGUAGAAAACAUAAAGGGUAAUGAGAUCAUGUCAAGUGAUAAAUGUCCAGUACUAUUGGCAAGAUUUACAUACCUAGCAGAAUUCACAACGAUAGAAGGUUGUUCACUGUAUGGAGCGUCACUUGGAUCAUCAUUUGGAUCCUCACUUGGAUCAUCAUUUGGAGGAUCUUUUGGAUCAUCUUUAAAAUCAUCAUUUGGAUCAUUGUCAAAAUCAUGCGGCCGUUGGCCAUCAUCCGUUGGAACCUUGUCCAAAUCCUCAUCUGUUGCAACCGGCUGUUGACCAUUAUUUUCAUCAUCUGUUGCAACCGGUUGUUGACCAACAUUUUCAUCGAAGCCUUCAUCAAAACACUCUCCGAAUGCUAGAUCUACUGUGUUCUCACAAUACUUACCGAAAUGAACAGACCCAACACACCUUGUGCACUUAGGCAUCCUCGCUCCAAGUCUAGCUCCUUCGCUGCGAGGUCUGAAUCGACUCUUCCUUGGUCUAUGUGUUGCUCUCUUCAGAACUGGAGUGCAAAGCUGGAAUCCAGGGUCCACUAUGUCCCAUAGUUGUUUUCCCUCCAAAGCAGGUAAGGCAUAUGCAUAUGUGUCUUUGAACCUUGCAACAGAGUAGUAAUCAUGCACAUAUUGUUGUAUGUUCCGUGCUGUACCUGAGAGAGAAGUGAUGAAAAACAAGGCAUGAAUGCAUGGCAACCCAGUUAUCUGUCAUUGCCUACAACUGCAAGUUCUAGCUUCUAAGUCCGCUGGAUAUCUCCAUUCCCUAUUCUCUUUAUCCAAAAAUGAUAUCUCUGCUGUGGUAGCCGAGCAAGGAAUCAUGUCCAUUUCCAAGACUGUUGUUUUCUACUUCAGUUCAUUCAUCACGGAAGGGAUGAUAAUGUGGCCCAUGAAUUUUGCUGCGGCUAUUCCUACACGAUAAUGAAAUUUCUGCAUGUAUUAUAUCCUUAUCUUGUCAAGCAAAUCCCCAAAAUAAAGACCCUUUACUUUCUGGAUCGUUGAGUUUCAAGACUCUGCAAGAUUUUUGUGCACAUAGUCAACUUUUCUCAGUUCACUGAAUUGGCUUCUUGCCCAUAACUUGAUGUGGUGUGUUUCCAAGUAUUCCUUCACUUUGGCAUUCGUGUACAACUACCUCAAGCGGUAGUUGUGCUUCUUCACACAAGUCAAAGAUGCUUGCCAUAAUUUCUUGGUAUACACCUUUCCAUUGUCUUUCUUCACAAAAUUUGCAGCAAGGUGAUGUAUGCAUUCCCUAUGCUCUACUCCAGGGAACACAUUGUCCACGACCACUUAUAAACCUUUGGAGGCAUAUGUAUGAAUUACCAACCCAUUGAGAUGUGCAAUAGACCGACGUAGAUUAUGCAAAAACCAAGUCAAGCUCUUCUCAGACUCUAUAUCCACCACACCGUAUGCAACUGGAAAUACUAAAUUGUGUGCAUUAACUGCACACGCUGCUACUAACUAUCCUUUAAACCUCCAUGUGAGAGAAGUAGCAUCAAUAGCCAAAUACGGCCUGCAGCCUACCAAAAAACUCCGAGAACAAGCCUCAAAGCAGACAAAAAAAUCCUCCUAAAGCAUUCCUUGGUCUUUGUCACUCCAUUGAAUGUGUACUCCACGGUGUGGUGGUCAAUAUCUACAAUACUACCUCGGCUGGUCCUCUCCACUUCACCUUUAAAUGAAUAUGACAAUUGAAAACUUUCCUGCCAGUUACCAUAAAUAGAAUCCAUAACAUGUUGUUUACCAUUGAACACCCUCAUGUAUGGUAAAUCUAUCUUGAACUUGUCUUUGAUGUUCUUGUGCAAUUCCUUUGCACCCACUUGCUGGUUUUCUUUCACUCACUUCUUUACUUCUUCCGCCACCCAUCUUGACUUGCUCUACCGAUUGUUUCCUUUAUAAGGGUGGAUUACUGGCAUGUGUGUCUGAAAGGGUUCACUUUGACCUAAACAUUCAUGCUAUUUUGCAUUGUAGAUGCGAGCAUCCUUCAUGGACAACCCUCGGCCAGACAGUGCACUCUAUAACGUAGUUGAUCGCUCUUGUCAAGUUCCAAAGUACGUUCUGCCUUGAUGCACUAUGUCACAAGUGCAUUUCUACACUCACUCAUGGGAUGCAAAAAUUGAACCUUCUUCCAUCUGAGGGUUUAAAGGGUCCCAUUCAACAACUGCAACGUCUUCAUCCUCACCCACCGCGUCAUCCUCCACACAGACGACAUUGUCAGCCUCAUCUUGGUUUCCAACCCGAGAUGCAUGCCGUAAAUUCUGAAUAAUAUCAAAAUAUAGCCUCUCUUCAUCAACCCUAGAAUUGUAGUCAUCAGGCUCCACUUCAAGGGGGCCCUUCUGUCAGUGCCCACGCUUGUCGAGCUACCAUGUCGUCAUGCACUAACUGAAUUGUUUUGGCUAGAGCUGCCAUUACGACGACAUGGUUCUGCCCGAGAAGGUGCACCCGCCAUCCUAGGUCCAGAUGUCUGCACAACUACAUCAUUUUGCAGCCUCACAUGAAAAUUCCAUUUCUCCUUGUGCUUCCCAAACAUGGUAGGGACCUCUGCAUCAUUACUAACUUUCACCCAUUUAUUUUCCCCAUCGUAGUAUUUGUAUUCCACUUCAUCAAGCAAAUCCCAAGGAUAUUGACUGCAGAUUAACUCCCCAAAUUGUCUCAAACUUCAAUUACAAUCCAUUUGCAACAGAUAAUGGAAACCUCCUUGGAAUUUCUUCUUAUUCUUUGCAUCAAGGAUGUACCUGCCCCUUCUAAUGUGCACCAAGAAAGCAAACCGCAACUCCAUCCUAACCCACGAAAAACAGAGAUGCAAUCAACACACCAAUAGCAAAAUCAACCGCAAACCAACUCGAAUCGAGUGUUGAAAUGCACAAGCAAGCUCAAUCAGAACAGGUGGCGUGACUUACCCCUCGGGAACCCAGUCAUGGACGUGGCAGGACUACGGUCCGAUGCCUGCCUUGCCAAAUACUCUGGGUCGCCGCCGCUCGCCAUUUCGCCCUGGGGUUCACCCUCCUACUUCCUCUUUCUGCACCAGUCCCCAUCUAUCAGCACUUCGGCCGGGUGCACGGAAGGAGGCCCCGCUGCGGGUCAAGCAGGUGGCGGGCGCAAUGGCCGAACAUGCGCCCCACCCAUGGCGUCGUAAGAAGGUGGUGGCGGAGCAGGUAGCGGUGGAGCAGGACGGCCAUGGCAGCGCAGGUGGUGGCGACACCGCAGGACGGUCGUCUGGGAGCAGGUGACGACGCACAGAAAGAUUGGGUCGGGUGUGCCCGGUUUGGACACUAGGGUUUGUCGUCGUUGCGCGGUCCCACGUGUAAAGCUCCAGUCCCACUUUCACGCCAACCCUUGUAACAAGUAUUAUUAUAUGCUUUACCUCAAGGCUGGAUAUUCGGCUUAAGAA